AUUCUUCGAUUGAUUGCAGGAACAAAGACCUUCGUGGUCAGGUUGAUCGUGCCGCCGCGGGAUCAAUAACCUUCUGGAGUUGGUGUAUCGAUCGCUAAGGCGCUGCCUCCUAAGUUGUAGUCGGAUCGUCAAUGUCACCUCCUACCAAAUCGAUAAUUAGGUAUCUCAUCGAAAGAUCAGGACACCCUCGAGGCUAUCACGUGGUAUUAGAGCUUAAGGUUGCUCGGUGAGAUUUUUCCAGUUUAUCUGUAGUUUAGAUCUGUUUUUACCUAUCGUCCAGAAAAAGCCAAACAAAAAUUAGAAUUAGUUACCUUGUCCUAGAACCAAUCUGAGCCUUGCAAUUUUCACAUUAGUAUUUGCAUUGUUGAAUCUUUGCUGCAUUAAUCGUGUCGAGUUGCUGGAUUAGAUUGGAUUGUUUUUCAGAUUUUUUCUACUAGAUCGAACUUGCUUUUGGUUUUCUUGUUCUUUGUGUGACGCAGGUUUCCUUCAUCAAUCUUCCGCCGCCAAACUUCCUGCCACACCACCGCCAUAAUCUUCCGCCGCCACCAUAUCUUCCACCGAGUCCCUCUUCGAGUCCUACACCGAGUCCCUCUUCCAGUCCUACACCGAGUCCCUCGUCGAGUCCUACAUCGAGUCGGCAAGUUAUAGUUUUCAGCCGCGAGUUCGAGUCCGAGUCCAAUCAAGAGUGCUUUUGGAAAGUGUUUCAUAAUAGAUCGAAUUUUAUUUAGAGAUCAAGUUGUUCGGAAAGUUGUGAAAAAAAAGAAGGGAAAGAAAAAAAAAGGGAAGAAAGAAAGAAAAAAAAACGAAAAAAAAAAGAGAAAGAGUUCGAGUCAGUUUCGGACCCGAGUCCGAGUAGAAUUAUAGUUUCGGGUGGGUUUGACCCGUGUUCAGUAAAACGGACGUAUCUUUUGCCUACCAACUCGUAUUUGGACGUUCUUGGACUUUUUGGAAAGCUCAAGACGAAGCGCAUCAGGAAAUAUCUAGGGCAUUGCCCUACACUUUGACCCUCAAAUUCGACCUCUAAGGUGGACUUUUCGAGCUCCAAAGUUUCUGCACCCGUUUUACGGCACCGGGGCAGCGCAGUAUAUCUCAGUUUUCUCCACCGUCCGACCUCCGUUUCGAGUGAUCUUGCACUUGUUGGAAAGCUUGUUUCUAUAUGCUUCUAACCCAUAUUUUCUCAUAUUUUUCUGAGUUUUCCUUACUACAGCCUUUGCUAUUCUCCUACGGACCGACGUGCAGCUUUCCGGUCUUAACUUCUUUUGCGUGAGUUUCUGGGGAUAAAAAAAAAGAAAAAGAAAAUAGAAAAGAAUAAGAAGCCAAACAGAAGGCCACAAAAAGAAAAAAAAAGAGAAAAAAAAUAUUCCCCAGAGAUUUACUUGUUUUACCUUUCAUUUGAUAUUUCCUUUCUACCUUUUUCAGUAUCUAGGCUUAGUUAAUUUCUGUAAUUCGUUCUUGUCGACUCUAGCAACUAGGACUAGCAUUUUUGAGCAUAUUUUCAACUUUGCAUUGCUGAUUUGAUUAUUCGCUUUUCCUUAAUACUCACAUAAGCCUCCAAGCUCCACUAUUCUACACCUAGGUUGGUUUGCCUCGAGGCAUCGAUACACUAAUCUUCGGAGGGUUUGUUCUCGCCGCUGGCCAUCACCUUCCUAUUUGCUGGGUAAGAACGAGUAAGAACUUGAUUAAAAGUUGAGUGGAGUGAUCUUUGGAACCCCACAUCCUAGUAGUGCAUAGGGACUUUUCCUUAUGAUUUGUUUCUUGUUUUCUCCUAACGAUGGCAGGUUCUGAUGAUGAUUGACAAGGCCACUCUCCACGCACAAAGGGCAUUAUUUCACAUUUUGAUCGCAAGCUUAGGCUCCGUAACGAGGAGCUGGAUGAGGACGUUCGCGUUGCGAAUGAGAGACUUGGAACCUUGGAGAGCGCGCACAUUGAAACAAAUACCAAGCUAACAUCUUUACAGAAUUCUGUUGCUACCAUUAGUACUUCUCUGGCAGAAAUCACGACGCAACUGGCGGCAAUUGCUGCAACGACCAUCGCUACACCGGGAGGAAACAAUACACACAACCAGCGGACCGCUAAUAACGGUACCUUCACAAGCGAGGUUGAGGAGAACGACGACGACUACUCUGCGGAUACGGAACACGACGGGGCCGUAAACCAUCACAACGACCGUGAUCAUCGCCGAACUCGUUUCAACCGCCGAGGUAUGGGACCGACACGACCUCACAGAGAGGAACAUGACUCGCUGCAUUCUAUUAAACUUAAGGUUCCUCCUUUUGAUGGAAAAUAUGACCCUGAUGCUUACCUUACAUGGGAAUUAGAAUUGAGUCAAAAAUUUACUUGCCAUGAUUUUCCUGCUAAUAAGAGGGUUAGGGCUGCUACUAGUGAGUUUACUGAUUUUACUUCUGUUUGGUGGCAUGAGUAUUGUAUUGCACAUCCUAACACUAUACCACCAACAUGGGAUGAUUUGAAAAGAAUUAUGCGCGCUAGAUAUGUUCCUUCAUACUAUUCGCGUGACUUGUUAAAGAAACUACAACAAUUAAGGCAAGGUAGUAAUUCUGUCCAAGAUUAUUAUCAAGAAAUGCAAAAGAACAUGUUACGUUGUGGUUUAGUUGAGAAUGAGGAAGCAGCUAUGGCUAGAUUCUUUGGUGGUUUAAAUCGUGAAAUUGCUGACAUUUUUUAUUAUAAGGAGUAUAAUUCUAUCAAUCGAUUGUUUCACAUUGCUUGCAAAGCUGAAAGGGAAGUGCAGGGACGACACGCGAACGCGCGGACUAACUUUUCUGCAGGUCAUACUUCCUCAUGGGCAGCACGCAGCCCCGCUGCCCCUUCCACACGCCCAGCUGCACCCCCUACACGUCCGGCUGUUCCGACUACUUCCACCAACAAGCAAAGUACCUCUACACCUACAUCCGCAAAGGUUGGACCAGCAGCAACAAGAAAUACACCCGCUGCCUCUGCACAAAGUUCAGCAGCGUCCGUUGCUUCCACCGGACGGACCGGAGAUAACCAAUGUCGUAGGUGCAAAGGAUACGGGCAUUUUCAGCGGGACUGUCCAACCAAACGCGUUAUGAUCAUACGUGAAGAUGGAGUAUAUGAUUCAGCCAGUGAUUUUGACGAAGCUACCUAUGCUCUCAUUGCCGAGGAAGAGCAAGAAGACCCCGCUGCCCACCAUGACGAGGAGUUAAUGGGAGCUGAAGCCGCUGAUCAGUACUUGAGUUUGAUUGCACAACGCACCUUGAGCGUCCAAAUGAGCCACGCCGAACAAAAUCAGCAGCAUAACUUGUUCCAAACAAAAGGGGUCAUCAAGGAGCGCGUUGUUCGUAUCAUCAUAGAUGGGGGAAGUUGCAAUAAUUUGGCCAGCACGGAGAUGGUGGAAAAACUUGUUCUUACCACCAGGCCGCACCCCCACCCUUACUACAUUCAAUGGUUUAACAACAGCGGUAAGCUCAAGGUAACUAGAACAGUCCGUGCACACUUUACUAUUGGUACAUAUUCUGAUUUUGUGGAUUGUGAUGUGGUACCUAUGCAAGCAUGUUCUAUGUUACUCGGUCGUCCAUGGCAAUAUGAUACAGAUUCUGUUCAUCAUGGUAGAACUAAUCAUUAUUCUUUUAUGCAUGCUGGUAAGAAAAUUGGUUUGAAACCUAUGACUCCUGAACAAAUUGUGAAAGAUGAUCUUGCUAGAGCUAGUAGAGCAAAGAGCAAAGAGAAGGAUAAGAGUGAGAACCAUAAUGUCGCUAAAGAAUUUAAGCACCAAGCGUCUACUAGCAAAUCUGAACCGAAACAUGUUAAUGAAAUUAAAUUGAAAGGUGCAUGCUUGCUUGCAAGUAAAUCCGAUAUUUCUGAGUUAGAUACGAAUAUCUGUUUGCUAUGCAUUCAUUUGCAAAGAGGCUUUGUUUUCAUUUGAGGAUAUGCCUCCCUCUUUGCCCCCUGCUGUUACUCACGUUUUGCAGGAGUAUUCCGACAUCUUUCCACAAGACGUACCACUAGGAUUACCACCUAUUCGAGGGAUUGAACAUCAAAUUGAUUUAAUUCCUGGUGCUUCGUUGCCCAACCAUGCGCCCUACCGUACCAAUCCAGAGGAGACGAAGGAGAUUCAACGACAAGUUCAAGAAUUGCUCGACAAAGGUUAUAUUCGUGAAUCCCUUAGUCCUUGUGUUGUUCCUGUUAUUUUGGUACCAAAGAAAGAUGGUUCUUGGCGUAUGUGUGUAGAUUGUAGAGCUAUUAAUAACAUUACUAUUCGCUAUCGUCACCCAAUUCCUAGACUUGAUGAUAUGUUUUACGUGCAUUUAAAACUAAGUUUGGACUAUAUGAGUGGUUACUCAUGCCUUUCGGUCUUACUAACGCACCUAGCACUUUCAUGCGGUUAAUGAACGAAGUUUUACGUGCUUUCAUAGGACGAUUUGUGGUGGUUUAUUUUGAUGAUAUAUUGAUUUACAGCAGCUCUUUAGAAGACCACUUGAAUCAUUUACGUGCUGUUUUUGAUGCUUUGAGAGAUGCACGUUUGUUUGGUAACCUUGAGAAGUGCACCUUUUGCACCGAUCGAGUUUCGUUUCUUGGCUAUGUUGUCACUCCACAGGGCAUAGAAGUUGAUAAGGCCAAGAUCGACGCUAUUCAAAGCUGGCCAACUCCAACAACGGUCACCCAAGUGAGGAGCUUUCUUGGACUCGCUGGGUUUUAUCGCCGCUUUGUAAAGGAUUUCAGCACCCUUGCUGCACCGCUUAAUGAGCUCACAAAGAAGGACGUUCCAUAUGUAUGGGGCGCUGCACAAGAAGAAGCUUUUCUCAUAUUGAAAGAUAAGUUGACACAUGCUCCUUUACUCCAACUUCCUGAUUUUAAUAAGACUUUUGAGUUGGAGUGUGAUGCUAGUGGAAUCGGUUUAGGAGGUGUGUUGUUACAAGACGGAAAACCUGUUGCAUACUUUAGUGAAAAAUUGAGUGGGCCUAGUCUGAAUUAUUCUACUUAUGAUAAGGAAUUAUAUGCUCUCGUUCGGACUUUAGAAACAUGGCAACAUUAUUUAUGGCCCAAAGAAUUUGUUAUACAUUCUGAUCAUGAAUCUUUGAAGCAUAUUUGUAGUCAAGAAAAGCUGAACCGUCGUCAUGCUAAAUGGGUUGAAUUUAUUGAGUCUUUUCCGUAUGUUAUUAAACAUAAGAAGGGUAAAGAUAAUGUUAUUGCUGAUGCGUUAUCACGUCGUUAUACCUUGUUAUCUCAGCUUGAUUUUCGGAUAUUUGGAUUGGAGACUAUAAAAGAACAAUACGAAUAUGAUGCAGAUUUUAAGGAUGUUUUGCAGCAUUGUAAAGAGAGCAGAACAUGGAACAAGUUCGUCAUUAAUGAUGGAUUUGUGUUCCGUGCUAACAAGCUAUGCAUCCCAGAUAGCUCCGUUCGUCUUUUGUUGUUACAGGAGGCACAUGGAGGAGGGUUGAUGGGUCACUUCGGCGUGAAGAAGACCGAAGAUGUGCUCGCUGAUCAUUUCUUUUGGCCUCGGAUGAGACGGGAUGUUGAGAGAUUUAUCGCUCGCUGCACUACAUGUCAAAAAGCUAAGUCACGACUCAAUCCUCAUGGUUUAUAUAUGCCUCUCCCUGUUCCUAAUGUUCCUUGGGAAGAUAUAUCAACGGAUUUUGUUUUGGGAUUGCCUCGAACUAAGAAGGGGAGGGAUAGCAUAUUUGUUGUUGUUGAUAGAUUUUCUAAGAUGGCACAUUUUAUACCUUGUCAUAAGAGCGAUGAUGCUACAAAUGUUGCUGAUUUAUUCUUUCGUGAAAUUGUUCGCUUGCAUGGUGUGCCCAAUACUAUAGUUUCAGAUCGUGACACAAAAUUUCUUAGCCACUUUUGGAGAUGUUUAUGGGCUAAGUUGGGGACUAAAUUGCUUUUUAGUACUACAUGUCAUCCCCAAACAGAUGGACAAACUGAAGUUGUUAAUUGAACAUUAUCUACUAUGCUUAGGGCUGUUUUAAAGAAGAACUUGAAAAUGUGGGAAGAAUGUUUACCUCAUAUUGAAUUUGCUUAUAAUCGUUCACUGCAUUCAACCACAAAAUUGUGCCCUUUUGAAAUUGUUUAUGGUUUUAUACCUCGUGCACCAAUUGAUUUGCUACCUUUGCCAACUUCUGAAAAAGUUAACUUUGAUGCUAAGGAACGUGCUGAACUUAUAAUAAAAUGCAUGAGACGACUAAAGAGAACAUUGAGCGCAUGAAUUCUAAGUAUAAACUUGCGGGAGAUAGGGCAGAAAACAAAUUGUGUUUGAACCUGGAGAUCUUGUUUCAGCAUUUGCGCAAAGAUCGUUUCCCUGAUUUGCGCAAGUCUAAGUUAAUGCCACGAGCUGAUGGUCCUUUUAAGGUGUUAGCAAAAAUUAAUGAUAAUGCAUAUAAACUUGAGCUACCUGCAGAUUUUGGGGUUAGUCCCACGUUUAAUAUUGCAGAUUUGAAGCCUUAUUUGGGAGAAGAAGAUGAACUACCGUCGAGGACGACUUCGAUUCAAGAAGGGGAGGAUGAUGAGGACAUCCCAAGUAAUGAUACAAUCACAGCCCCUACAGCACCUACACCUCAAGUACCGGAGAUACAUGGACCAAUUACUAGAGCUCGUGCAUGACAACUAAAUUAUCAGGUACUUUCGUUCCUCGGUACUUCAUUUAAUAUUAAUGAGAAUAUGCUGCUGCCUAAGAUGGGUUCUUUUAUGUGUUUUAGGAAUGAAGGACCUAGCUUGGACCUCAAGGAUCAGCGUUGGACAGCAAACCAUGGAGGUGGCAGCAAGGUGGCGGGAGCUAGCUCAAGUGAUGAUUUCAGAACAUUGAAACCGCCAUAACGAGAUAUGAGAAGAAGGCCGCAUCCUCUUCAUCAAUGGGAUUUCGGCCAAGUGGAGGAUUGCCCCUCCAAUGGGUAUCUAUGGGCCAAACAUGAGAGUUAUAACCUUGCUUUAUUGGGCUUAAGGCCAUGUAAUAGGGUCCAGCCAAUUUUUAGAUGUUUUCGUUGUGUUUUAGGAGGAUUCCUAGGCCGUUUCGGAGUUCCUCAAGGGCCUGGCCGAAAACCACCUAGUUCCCCUCGUAUUUAUACCCCAUGAGCCCCCCCAUGGAGCCUUGGGUUUUGAUUAGAUAAAGUUUAGCCUUUGCUACUUUCGUGUAAUCGCGUGUGUCGGUUAGACCACCUGUUUUACCGUCAUCAAGACUCCAACUAUAUUGAGUAUUCAGAUUCGUGAACCUUCAUAUCUCCUAUUCGCAAUUUCAGAUUGCUUUUCAUCUUGUUCUUGCUUGUUCUUGCUUGUUCUUCGAUUGCUUGCAGGAACAAAGACCUUCGUGGUCAGGUUGAUCGUGCCCCCGCGGGAUCAAUAACCUUCUGGAGUUGGUGUAUCGAUCGCUAAGGCGCUGCCUCCUAGGUUGUAGUCGGAUCGUCAACGUCACCUCCUACCAAAUCGAUAAUUAGGUAUCUCAUCGAAAGAUCGGGACACCCUCGAGGCUAUCAGCGGUGGUGCCGGAUGCGGAAUGCCCUCGCCGUGCGGGAACGCCCUCCUCGGGGGCGUGACAGGGCGCGCGCCGAGGAGCGGCGCGAGUCCGACUAUUCCGGCGGCGACGAGCCAGGCUUCCAGGAGCCUCGUGGCGUCGCCUGCAUCCAUGGGGGAGCUUACGCUCUCCCAUCCCACGCCGCGGUGUGCGCGCUGUUGCCGGAUGCGGAGCCGCAACAGCCGCUGAGGUGGUCGCACGUGCCGAUCACCUUCAGCGCCGACGACCACCCGGUGCGACAAUUGGGUUCCAGGGUAAUACCCUUCGUCGUCUCGUCGAUCAUUAGCAAUAUGACGGUGACCAAGGUGCUGGUGGACAACGAAGCAGGGCUUAACCUCCUAUCCGCCAAGCUGGUGGAAAAGCUCCAGCUGCCGAUGGAGCAGCUGAAGCCCACCGAACCGUUCCGGGGGAUGAACCCCGGGAUCGUGCGCCCGCCGAGACGCAUCACGCUGCCGGUCACCUUUGGGUCCCGAGAAGCAUUUAGGACCGAGCAGAUAGUGUUCAACGUGGCGCAUACCCCGUUCCCCUACAACGGGAUCCUUGGUCAGCCGGCACUGAUCAAGUUUAUGGCGGCUACGCAUUGCGCCUACGGCGUGAUGAAGAUGCCGUCCGUCUACGGAGUCCUCUCCAUCGGGUGCAAUCUCAAAGACGCUGCUUGGUGCGUUGGCGAGGUCGUCCGGGCCGCUGCUGCAGCUGACGCCGGCGACGAAGGUGUUCUCGAGGACGACGCCUUGCCGGGUGACGCCCCGACAACGAAGAAGCCCCGCGCCACCCCGCAAGGCGCAGGCUCGGGCUCGCGUCCCGGCAAGCGGCGAGGGCUCCGGGAGGAGGCCGCCAAAGUGAAGAAGCUGCCCCUCCAAGCCGGCGAUAAGGAGCGCACCGUUACCAUCAGUGUGAACCUGACCGCCGAAUAGGAAAGCGCCCUCGUCACCUUCCUCCGGGAAAACGCCGACGUGUUCGCCUGGGAACCGUCGGACCUUCCCGGAGUCCCCAGGGAGGUGAUUGAGCAUCGGCUCGCGGUGCGCCCGGACGCGCACCCCGUCAAGCAGAAGAUCCGGCGGCAGGCACAAGAGCGGAAAGAUUUUAUCAAGCAAGAGGUGGGCAAGCUCAAGUCUGCCGGGGCGAUCAGAGAAGUUUUGUACCCCACUUGGCUGGCUAACCCUGUAGUAGUGCCCAAAGGGGGGAAUAAGCUUCGCAUGUGCGUAGAUUUUACCGAUCUUAACCGUGCGUGCCCCAAGGAUCCCUUCCCUGUACCCCGUAUCGACCAGAUAGUUGAUUCUACCGCUGGUUGUGACCUGCUGAGUUUUCUGGAUGCUUUCUCCGGCUACCAUCAAAUCAAGAUGGCGGUCGAGGAUGAGGAAAAGACAACGUUUAUCACCCCGGUUGGCUGCUACUGCUAUACGUGCAUGCCUUUCGGGUUGAAGAACGCGGGCUCCACAUUCCAGCGCGCCCUGCGAGAAUGUUUGGGGCCCCAGCUAGGCCGCAGCGCGGAGGCCUUCAUGGAUGACAUCGUCAUCAAAUCGAAGCGUAGGGACUCGCUGAUUGAUGACCUGCGGGAGACAUUUGACAACCUCCACAAGAUCAAGCUCAGGCAGAACCCUGAUAAGUGCACCUUCGGUGUCAACUCCGGGCAGCUUCUGGGUUUCUUGGUUUCACACCAGGGGAUACAGGGCAACCCGACCAAAAUAGAAGCCAUCGAGAAGAUGGAGGCCCCCCGCAAGGUGAAAGAUGUCCAGCGACUCAACGGCUGCGUUGCCGCGCUUGGACGCUUCAUCUCCAGGCUGGGCGAGCGUGCCCUGCCUUUCUUCCAGGUAAUGAAGAAGAAGGGUCCAGUCGACUGGACUGCCGAGGCCGAGGCGGCGCUCCAGGAACUCAAGCGAUACCUGAGGUCACCGCCCAUCCUCGUCGCCCCCAAGUUGGGCGAGCCGUUGCUACUCUACUUAGCGGCGACUGACUAGGUGGUCAGCUCAGUGCUGGUUGCCGAGAGGGAGGAAGACAUCCCGGGGAUUGGGGCUGCGGGGCAGGGGGCUUAGCAGCCUCCAGCAACCGCCUCAAACCCAGGGACCACCCUAGAGCUGGCAACCCCAGCGCCUCGAAAGCGGUUGGUGCAGCGACCGGUAUACUUCGUCAGUACGGUGUUGCGCGAUGCACGGACAAGAUACCCGCAAGUACAGAAGCUCCUUCUGGGGAUUCUCCUUGCGUCCCGUAAGUUGCGCCACUACUUCCAGGCGCACCACGUCACGGUGGUGUCCGGGUUCUGCCUCGAGAGGACCCUCACCAACCGUGAAGCCACCGGGAGGGUGGCCGAAUGGAGGAUGGAGCUAUCGGAGUUUGACCUCCACUUCGCCAACUCCAAAAACAUCAAGAGCACGGCCCUGGCGGACUUCAUCGCGGAGUGGACGUCCACGGGCGUAGAAGAAAGUGAGUCGGAGACCGGCCUUCCCGGCAAGCUGGACGAGGACCACUGGGUCCUCUACUUCGACGGUGCGUUCAGUCUCCAGGGAGCGGGGGCUAGGGUCGUCAUCGACUCACCCACAGGGGACCAGCUGCGGUUCGCCGUCCAACUCAACUUCGCUAACUCCACCAACAACACGGCGGAGUACGAAGGCCUGCUUGUCAGGCUGCGGGCAGCGAUCGCCCUCGACAUUAAGCGCCUAGUUGUUCACGGUGAUUCCCAGCUUGUGAUCAACCAGGUGAACAAGGACUACGAUUGCCCUCAAAUGGCGCUGUACAUAGAAGAGGUCCGCAAGCUGGAACGGAAGUUCAAGGGUUUGCGCUUUGAGCACGUCAAGCGAAGGGACAACUUCGCUGCUGACGAGCUGACCAAGAUGGCAGCAGAGCGCCGGAAGCCUCCGGCGGGGGUGUUCUGUCAGAAGCAACUGGCUCCUUCAGUCACCCCCCAGCCGGCUGCCGGGGAUGCCCCUCCGGCAACCGAGGGAACCCCUGCAGUCGCAGGGGUCCAUGCCGCUGAUAUGGCGGCAUGCGCUAGAAGAGAAAUUCCUCCCUGGGCAGAAGAGAUCGCCCGCUAUUUGAAAGGAGAGGCUCUCCCGGAGGAUGACGUCGCCGCGGAGCGCGUAGCGCGGCAAGCCAAGAUGUACACUGGGAUAGACGGCAGCGUCUACCGCAGGCGUGCGAAUGGUGUCAAACUCCUUUGCGUGUCGCAGGAAGAAGGGUGUGCGCUGUUGGAAGACAUACAUCGAGGCACAUGUUCGCACCAUGUGGUCUCCCGGGCUUUGGCCGGGAAAGUUUUCCGGCAUGGCUUCUACUGGCCCACGGCCCUGGCCGACGCAGAGCGGCUGGUGAGGACGUGCGAAGCGUGCCAGUUCCACUCAAAGAAGAGCAACCAACCAGCCCAGGCCCUGCAUGUCAUCCCGUCCUCAUGGCCGUUCGCGGUCUGGGGACUGGACAUCGUCGGCAAGCUACCAAGGGCGGUUGGCAGUUACGAAUACUUGUUUGUGGCCGUCGACAAGUUCUCCAAAUGGGUGGAGGUGGAACCAGUGCGCAAGGUGACCGCCCAGGCGGCCAUCAAGUUCCUUAAGAGAAUUGUGUGCCGGUUUGGUGUUCCUAACAGCAUCGUCACCGACAACGGCACGCAAUUCACGAGCGCGGCAUUUCAAGCCUACUCCGAAGGCAUGGGCACUAAGCUGCGCUUCGCGUCCGUCGCUCACCCGAGGAGCAACGGACAGGCGGAGCGAGCCAACGCAGAGGUUCUGCGGCGGCUCAAGACAAGAACCUUUGACAAGCUCAAAGGCCACGGGAAGCACUGGAUUGAAAAACUCCAGCUCGUGCUGUGGUCCAUCCGGACCACACCUAGUCGGGCAACGGGCGGAACUCCUUUCACCCUUGUCUACGGGGCAGAAGCGGUGCUGCCCCUCGAGCUCAAGUACGGAUCUCCCCGAGUACGCGCGUACGGCGACACCAGCCAACACGAGCAAAGGGUCGACGAUCUAAACUUCAUCGAAGAGCUUCGGUGCUGGCUGCUGUGCGAGCCGGGCGCUACCAGCAGGGACUCCGUCAUUAUCACGACAGACGAGUCCGUCCCCGGGGGCUCGAGAACGGAGACCUUGUCCUGCGCCGGAUACAAGGAACGAAGGCCGGGAACAAGUUGACUCCGAAAUGGGAGGGGCCCUUCCGGGUAGUGCAGGUGACCAGGCCGGGGGCUGUCCGCCUGGAAAUCGAAGACGGCUUGCCGGUGCUCAAUAGCUGGAAUAUUGAACACUUGCGCAAAUUCUACCCGUGAAGCGGCGGAGCCCGACCCUCAGGUGAUGCCUCCGAUGCAUACCUCUCGAACUAGUGUAACCGGGCAGCCCCCGUGUGUAAACCGCUAGUUAAUUGUGAAUAAAGAUAAGUGUUUCACCCCUGAGCUUUGCUUUUGCCUUGUUCGUUUUUCGUGUUUUCCCCUUCCUGCCUCCUGCUUUAAGUGCACAAAGGUGUCUUUCCCUACUUGGUUGUGAGCAAGGGGCUGCCGUGGCCCCGAAACGAAAACCCGUUGCCGGAUCCUUCCAGCACUGGACAUGCCAUUGGCGGGCUUCCCGCAACGUGCAUCACUGGACAUGCCGUUGGCGGGCUUCCCGCAACGUGCAUCACUGGACAUGCCGUUGGCGGGCUUCCCGCAACGUGCAUCACUGGACAUGCCGUUGGCGUGCAGUUGCUCGGCCUCCCGCAGCCUGCACCGCGGAGUCGCUCUGCCUGGGGAAGGAAAUGCUCACAUCCAAGUUUGGCAUUGACCCCUUUGUGCCGGGGGCUGGGGAGCAGGAGAGAUUUGUCUGAUUUACCUGUGUUACUUGUUUUCGUAAGUUUCGAAAAAAAUUCAGCACCUCGGAUCUGGUAAGAGUCUAACCUACAGGAAAGGGAGGAAUUUUGUACACUGUGGUGCCUGUGAGCUGCCCACGGGUCGCACCAUACACCGGUGCCUUGUGGCGGGGGAGGACCGCAACACAAGGGGUUCACCGCACUUCGAGGCUUCUGAGUUGACGGCUGGCCGCCACGUGUGCGGCGGUUACCCGGUAAGCAUGGCGGCGGAAACGGCGUCACGUUCCAGGAAAAGGCGCCACAGUGCCGCGCGGAUCCGUCGCGCGCGGUGGCAAGCCUCCCUCCCGCGUCUAUAAAAGGCGCGCCCCAACCAUGGAAUUGCUCAGAGCGAAGCCGGGUUCGGGGCCGUGAAAGCAGGUGGUGCGACGGAGGCGCGGAGGUGGUGCUUCCCGCCAGCGCCUAGCGCCGGCUGGUGCGCCGCCAUCGCGCCCCUGCCGCAUCACCCCAUCGAGCCCACCCCAAGGGGCGCCGCAGAGGCGCGGUGGUAGUGCGUGCCAUCGGCGCCCUGCGCCGACAGGUGCACUGCCGUUGUGCCCCUGCUGCGCUUCCUCAAAGGGGCGGUUCCGGGGCGAGGGUCGCCACAGAGGCACUAUGGUGGUGCAUCCCGUCAGCAUCCGGCGCCGACGGGGUGCAUUGCCACAGUGCCCGUGUCGCCCCCGCCGAAGGGUACCUCCGCAAGGAGCAGGGGCUGCCGCGGAGACUCUAUGAUAGUGCAUGCCAUCCGUGCCUUGUGCCGGCGGGUGCACUAUCAUAGGGACCCGGCCGCAUUCCCGUUGAGAGAGCCUUUUUCGGGCGCGGGUCGUUGCGAGGACGCUGUGAUGGCGCCCAUGCCGGCGCUCGUCGCUCGUUCCGGCCCAUCACCGCGUCCUUGCCGCGGCCCUCGAGCAGUUUAGCUCCCGGGUAACAAGGGUCGUCGCAUCCCUGGGGACGACUUCCCUAGAGAAAACCCAAGUCUCCCCAGUUGGGCUGUCGCUGGAAGGCUAUAACCUCCUCGUCGCCCGUGCCCGCCGUUCGGGGUGUGGCGAAGCCGGCGCCGAGGACAUUAUAGCGAUCUCGCGGCUGCUCCCGGAGCGGAGUCCUCCUAAGCCAGGGUUCGUCCCUGAAGGCCAGGGUCCGCCCCUGAGGGCGAGGGUUCCCGCCGCAUCCCUCCGAGAUCGUUUCCCUUGAACUGGUACCCCAGAUGGUUUCCUACCGAGGCAGUGCCCCAUCUGCACGCUACCGCAGAGCAUCGCGGAACAUUGGACCAAACGGAAAAGCUAAGUAUCUGAACAUGGACGCUGAAUUCGCUAAGAGCUGAACGAAAUCGAGCACUGCCCCGCUGGGUGCGGCCCCGGAUCCCGCGCGUAACCGGAGUGUUAGAAGGGACGCUUGCGGGGGGAGUGCGCUCCCCGUGUGGCCCCCGGGUCCGCUCCGGGAGGACACGGCUUGGAGUGGUUACCCCGCAAGCGGAGUGACUCCCCGCUACCGCUUGGCCCCAGGUCGGCACUGCGGGUCCGUCCUGGGUCCCUGGUCUGGUCAAGGGUGAGGCGUGCGUGAGUCCCCCCGCAACACAAGGCAGGACACGCAAAGGCUAAGGGAACCACCCCGCGAGGCGGCCUCGGGAAUAAAGGACAAAAAUUGAGCAAACUAUCAAGCUUGAUUAACUAAGUGUCAAAUGGUUACAUGGACUAAUCAAAAGGGUCAUUGUCCAAACGGCGCUAAGCGCCAUACUUGCAGGAAAAGCAAACAAGAAGGAGGUACAGGGGAAGCAACGAGUAUAGCUGGGGGCUGCGGCCACUAGCUGUCGCCGUCUUCGGCCGGGGGGUCGACGGGGGUUCAGGCUCCGGCUUCAUCUGCAUCCGCUCGACGACCUCGUCGACAAACUCGCGCACUGCUUGGGUGUGCGUGGGCUCGUCCUCGCUGUCGGACCAAGCAUCCAGCGGAGACUCGAAGGGGAAUUCCGGGUCCCAUAGAUGGAUUCGCGGGAGGAUUGUCCCGGCAACCUCCUGGGCGCAGUUGGCGACUUCGUUGGCGCCGUACUUGGCGAUCCAGACGUCGACCGCCCCGAGCUUCCCCAACAAGUCGGAGAAGAAGGGGAUCAGCGUCGUGACAUCCGUGCCGUCCACCUCUGCUGCCUGCAGCUCGAACUUGGGCAGCAGGUCGCGCAGCGACUCGGCGAUCUUCGCCAGCUUCUCCGUCUCGAGCUGCCGCUGCCCGAUCAGCGUGCUGUGAUGGAGUCGGGCGUCUUGCGCGGCCUUCUUGGCCUUGCUGACGCGGCCCUCCAACUUCGCAAGCUCCAAGGCUUGGGUCGCGUUGGCCUCGCCGGCCUUGGUGAGCUCUUCCCGGACGGCGGCCAACUCGUCCUUGAGCCCGGCCGCUUUGCCUUUGACGGAGUUGAGCUCGGCCUCGUGCGGAGUCACCGCUCUCGCCGCGUCCUCAGCAGCCUUGACCUGCACCUUCAGCAGGACGCGGAGGCCUUCGAUUUCGCCGCGGUAGUGAGCGAUCAGCUCGCUCUUCUCGUCCAGCCGCACCUGGGCCGUCGCGAGCACCUCGGCAUGCUCCUUCCGGGACGCUUCUAGGGUUACCGCCAUUGCGUCGAGCCUUCCUGGGAGCUCCGUGCGCUGGACCUCCAGUUGCUGACGGAGCUCGGUCUCCGGGACUACCGGCUCCCGGGCAGCCUCCAGGGCUUGUCGGGCCAGCCGCGCCUCCUCGCGCAGCCGGGAGAGUUCGUGCCGCUCUCUCUCGACAGCCUCCCGCAACUCGCCGAGUUGAUUCUUGGCGGCGGUGUGGCGCUCCCUCACCUCGUUAUAGGAGGUGUCGAAGGCGAACUGCUGGUCCCGAAUGGCGUCCAGAAACCGGUGGCCCCGCUCGAAGACGCUCGGAUCCCCGGUAAGAGGAUUCCAAGCGACCCCGGCGAGGGUGCCGAGGUCGGUGCCGAGGAGAGCCCCCGAGGAUGAUGAAGCCCCAGCUGCCGAAGUGGAGCUGGGCGCGGGGUCGCCAAUUUGCUCCCGGGGGUCUUGCCGUCCUUCCCCAACAACUUCCCCCACGCCUAGGCUCCGGGGCACCGGGGUUGGAAAGGGCUCCCUGCUCCCGGCAGGGGUCGUCCCCUGUUGGAGAACGGGUGAGCCCGAGCCGGCCACGUCCGCGGCUUCGGGCGCGUAGCCGAGUGCCGCCGCCGCGGCGGCGGUCCCCACUGCUGCAGCUGUGUCCGUCGCGGCAGGCACGGACACAGGAGCCGUUUCCGACUCCACUUCCGCCCCCGCGGUCCUGACGACCGAGUCGGGAUUGACGACGGCCGCGCCUGUUCCGGGCGCGGGCGCACUUGUGCCUGCACCCGUGGAAAAGCAUGAGGGUCGGCGAUGGUUGGUGCUAUCGAAGGCGAAUAAGGGCGACCGGGGCGGUUACCUUGUGCGGCCGUCGGGCUUGCCGGUGCGGCCACCACUACCUCACCUGCGCCAGCGGGAGCAUCCAAGGGUCUUACCGCGGGCGAGCUGCCGCUCGCUGCAGAAAGAGAAGGUAUGUUUGUGAAUUUUGCUAGCAGGAAUUGCAGUUGCAGAGAAUCGACAAAGACAUACCUGGUGCCGGCUCUGUCUCUGCUUGGGCUGGGUCGCCAAGGGGCGCGCCUGCGCCGACGCAGGCCCCCGAGGCAGCGGGGUCGGUGGCGUCGCCAGCGUCCGCGCGCAUCCUUUUGCUUGGCGAGCCGGGCGGGGAAUCACUUCUCGCCCUCUUGCUGGCGCCCGCGGGCGAGGAGGACUUCAGAGGGUUGCGCCGGAGCACGAAGCCCCGGAAGACCCCCUGAGCGGGCGGCGCCGUGGGCGCCCGCAGUGUCGUCGUGACCCGGAGAGCUCCAGGUGUCAACGGCGAUGCCGCCGCGACGCCGGGCGCCAAGCUCGCGGAGGCCCCCGCUACUGGAGCGAAGGCCGUCGCCGGGGUGCCGAUGGACCCCGCAGGUGCUGACGUUGCCGGGGUACCGGCGAGCACCCCGGGGCCGGGUCCCGCCGCGGAGCUGGCGGCCGCUGGCAAGACAGGGGCCGCCGCCGAGGCACUCGCGGCCCCUGUUGCCGCGGAUGCCGUCGUGGUACCAACGGGCGCCCCAGGAGCGGCGGCUGCCGCUAGGUUAGGGGCCGCUGCCGGGGCGGACGUCGCUGUUGAGGAAGUGGCUGCGACCACAUCAAACGCCCUCGACCUUCUCAGGAUCAGGGGCGCGCUGUCACUGCUUUCCUCGUCGUCGUCCUCCACGGCGACGACUUCCGGGGACGCAACCACCUGGCCCGCCUUGUCGUCCAGCGACCGGAGGGAGGGCCAGCUGGGCUCGGACCCGCCCUCGCUCUCCUCGAGCACCUGCUUCCCGCGGGGUGCUUGCGGGAGAGCGUGCGGGACGCGGGUGGGGGUGUCGUCCAUCAGCCCCCACUCGUUGCAGGGCGGGAAGGCGCCGACGAUGUCGCUGAGCGCCUUGACGCCGGCAUGGAGAGCAGAGACCCCCGGCGGGAACUCUAUCGACUGGAAGACCUCGCCGGAGAUCCCCUUCACCCACGUCUUGAGGGACUCCAAGUCCAUGCCGUCCGCCUGGAGGCAUGUCCUGUCCCCGGAGCCCGUGUACAUCCACGCGGGCCGGGAACGCAGCUGCAGCGGGGCUAUGCGCCGAUGGACGAAGGUGCGCGCCACGUCGCCGUCUGUGAGCCCCGCUGGCCGCAACGCCUUGAUCUUCUCCACGAUGGGGAGGAGGUCGGCGUCGCGGUGGUACCUGUCCGGCCAGCCGAUCUGGGGCACCGGCAGCCCCGUCGGCGGUUGGAUGAACUCCUGGGGGUCCUCCACUCGGACCCAGCACCAGUCGCCCCGCCACUCUUUUUCGAUCUUCUUCCCCGACCGAACGAUGAACUCCGAAUUUAUCUGGUCGCGGGCGCGGAAAACCACCCCUGACGACAUCGCCUUUGCGUUGUCGAUGCGCGGGUAAAAGUAAUGGCGGAAGAGCCCCACCAACGGCAUCACUCCCACGAACGCCUCGCAGAGGAACUGGAAGGUGGCGAGGAGGAAGAGCGAGGUGGGGUGGAGCUGCGCCACCUGCAACUGAUAGGAUUCCAUCAGUGCGUGGAGGAACAGAGAGAAGGGCGGCACCAGGCCGCAGAGGAGGAAGCGCGCGAACACCCGGAAGUCGUUAUCCUGGUGUUCGACGCCCGCCGGGAAGAUCCGCGUCUCCCCGUGCUCGUUGAAGUUGGAGGCGACGGCGUGCCGGAGCUUCCCCAGCGCCUCGCCGUUGUAUCCGGGGUGGAAGAAGGCUACUUUUGCGCGCAUCUCCCGCCUCUUCUGGUCCUUGGUGGCGGCCGCUUUGAGUGCCGCCUCGGUCUUCCUGGUCGCGGGCUUCUUCGAAGACUGGACUUCCUUCCCCUUCCUGGCGGUGGGGGGCGCCAUGGGGAGCGAGGGCGGUAGCGGGCGAGAGCGCAGGGAUGCGAGAUGCGGAAGAGGGUGGAGGCGAAAGGGCAAAGUGUUGCUCCCCGUUGCCAACAGUGGAAGCUUUAUGACGCCCGGUCGUUUGGUAACGGCCGGUUCCGUACCCUACGGGUGCGCGGGGAUAACUCCUAAUCACUGGGAGUGAUGCACGGGGUGGCCUUAACUACCCUAUUUAGGGGGGGGGGAAGUUAGGGCGGAAAUCUCGCGCCCACUACUCCGCUUUUGGCGGCACUGUACACGGGGCAGCGAAGGGACGCGGGCCCGCAACUGAUCGGGGGCCCACGUGUCGGUUAAGGGCGUAGCCCGGCAACCGGCUAGGAAGAGACCCUUCCGGGAACAGGUGAUGCCGGCCCACGCCCGGGGGCUACUGUCGCACCAGUGGCACACGGGGUACCACCGCUGCGUGACGCGUGGCCCCCUCCCCCGGGUUCCCGGGAAGGUCUCAUCCCGGGGAGCGCCGACGAGCUUCCCGGCAAGCUACCAGCCCGAAAGAGGCUAGCGGGGCUUCUGGGAAUAUUCCCGCUUAGGCACCCUCCCGGGUGCGCUGGGCCCGGGUGCUUCCCGGGCCGACUUGCGGGGACUGGGGAUUCCCGGACGCUUGCCCCCGCCUCGGGUCGUGGGGCCCACUGGACAGCGCCACGCAGGCGCGUGACGGGCGCGGAACGCGCGGUCCCACCAAGGCAAGGGGUAAGGCACGCGGCUCAGUGAACGAGCCGACCUAAGGGUAGUUACCCAUCCGAUCCAAGGAACAGUGGUUGUCCAAUCCUACCCUAGGGCCCUAGGCCCCUCGCAGCGGAGGUGGCACCCAUGCAUGCCACCAGCUCACCAGGGAGAGUUGCUUGCCUCCCCGUUGGACGCUUGUAGCCCAUGCAUCGUGGCACGUGUGGCAUCCCCUUGUGUAUAAAAGGAGGACCCAUGCCAACGGUCAAGGGGGUUAGAGGGUUGACGGGUCAGACAGUGGGAGAGGAGAGUCAGUUGGUCAGUUAGUUGGUUCGGGCGAAGCUCGCUCGAUAGACGCUUACUGGCUCCAGUAGGCAGCCGGCGGAGAGUAGUGAGGAGUGCCUAGCCACUGAGAGCAAGCCCGGGAGCUUGCCCGGCGAACUGUAAACAUUUGAUCCGUAAUCAAUAUCAGCUCAGACAGGCAGAACGUAGGGUUUUACACCUCCGGGUGGCCCGAACCUGGGUAAAAAACAUGCGUGCGUCUGUUCUUGGACCAGCGCGUACCCCUAGCACUUUGCCUCGCCGACCCCGUAGGGCCUCAUCGGCUGUGCCGGCGAUCAUCUGGUCUCCACCCCAGAUGCCCCUACCGAACCUAAAAGGGGGACGUGACUGCACGCCCCCGGUGUCGGAGCACCGAGCGACGACAUCUGGCACGCCAGGUAGGGGGCGCGGGAGUGGACAGCGCCGGAGAUCGCCGGCAGCGGAAGUUCCCAUCGGCAUCGGCUUCACUCUUCUUCGUCGACGAGCCUUGUCACCAUGCCCCCCAAGCGGGCUGGUGAUCCACGCAUAGACCCGCGUGAGGCCCCAGCGGCGCACACGCGGUCGCACGACGUGCGACCCGAGUCGGGAGCUCAAGAGAAUCCCGAGCCCUCGAGGGUGCAUCAAACGCAGUUGCCUCCACCGCCUCCCCGACCGUCAACCGACAAUCGGCCGAGGGGACCGGCUGCCCCCCGCGUCGGGGGCAGUCGGGCGAGCACGCAUGGCGUCGCCCGGGCCAGCCAACGGGUGGAGUCGCGGCAUGCACGUCUAACAGUAGCAGCCAACCGUGGUGAGAAAUGCUGUUUUCUCCUCAUCUUCGACUGCCAUCUUCAUCUGAUGGUAGCCGGAGAAGGCGUUUAAGAAGCAAAAGACUCGCAACCCGCUAUAGAAUGUACUAUUUGAUCGAUACGAGGUACAGGGAAGGGGUCCUUAGGACAUGCACGAUUAAAAUUAGUAAAAUCUACGCACAUGCGCAAUUCAUUUCCAGCUUUAGGGACUACAAUAGGGUUUGCUAACCAAGUAGGGUACAACACUUCCCUGAUUGCCCCGGCGUUCUUGAGCUUCUCCACUUCCUGCUGGAUGAAGUCCUUGCAUUCUUGCGCUUGCCGGCAAACCUUUUGCUUGACGGGCCGUGUGUCUGGCCGCACCGCCAGCCGAUGCUCGAUCACCUCCCUAGGGACUCCGGGAAGAUCUGACGGCUCCCAAGCAAACACGUCAGAGUUCUCCCGGAGGAAGGCGACGAGGGCGCUUUCCUAUUUGUCGCCGAGGCUCGCACCAAUGGAGACGGUGCGUGCCUCGUUGCCGGCAUGCAGUGCCACCUUCUUGACCUUGAUGCCCUCCUCCUUCAGCUUUGUGCCCUUGCUUACGCGCGGGCGGGAGCUGGAGCUACCCCCGGCAUCCUGCCGGGGAGCAUUGAUGUUUCUUCUCAAUGUGCCUAGGUUAAUAGGAGCAUGGGUGUUUUCUGCAUACGGUAGAUUGUCAUCCCAACUGGAUCCAUAAUCUUCAAGGAUCUGAUUUACUCUCUCGGUCUGUCCAUCCGUCUGCGGAUGAAAGGCUGUACUAAAUUCUAGUCUCGUUCCUAGAGACUCAUGUAGUUGUCCCCAAAUCUUGAGGUAAAUUGGGUACCUCUGUCUGAAACUAUUUCCUUGGGUACUCCGUGUAAACACACUAUUCUGGAUAUGUAGCGUUUUGCUAACUGUGCGCUGGUGUAAGUGGUCUUCACUGGUAUGAAGUGGGCAACCUUGGUCAAACGGUCAACCACUACCCAAAUAGAAUCAGAUCCUGAUCUGGUCCUUGGUAAACCGGUGAUAAAGUCCAUGCCGACUUUAUCCCAUUUCCAGUCCGGUAUAGGGAAUGGUCUCAGCAAUCCUGCUGGCUUCUGGUGCUCUGCCUUAACCCUGCUGCACACAUCACACAAGGCAAUGAACUCUGCGAUGUCACGCUUCAAUCCGGACCACCAAAAUGUUUCCUUGAGGUCCAUGUACAUCUUUGUGUUUCCAGGGUGGAUUGAGUACGGUGAAUCAUGGGCUUCUUGCAGAAUCAACUUUCUGAUUUUCGGAUCUUGCGGUACGCAAAUGCGUUUUCCGAACCAUAUGGUACCCUGGUCGUCCUCACGAAAAUCUUUGGCCUUUCCGUUAAGCAAAUUCUCUUUUAUUUCCUUUAUUUCUGAGUCAUCUUUCUGUGCUUCUAUCUUAUCUAGCAUUGUGGGUUGCACUUCCAAAGUGGCUAAAUAACCUUCGGGUACUAUUUCCAGUCUGAGGUCUUUGAACUGUUCGCACAACUUUGGUGGUAAUUCUCCAGUUGUUAGUCCAUUUACAUAGCCCUUGCGGCUCAAUGCAUCGGCUACGACGUUAGCCUUGCAUGGAUGGUAUUGUAAAUUUAGGUCGUAAUCUUUUAUCAGUUCUAACCAUCUUCUCUGCCUCAGAUUCAACUCCUUCUGAGUGAAAAUGUACUUUAGACUCUUGUGGUCAGUAAACAGCUCACAAUGCUUUCCCAUCAGCUAGUGCCUUCAAGUCUUCAGGGCGUGCACUACCGAUGCUAACUCCAAGUCAUGAGUGGGAUAGUUGCCUUCGUGGCUCUUUAGUUGCCGCGAAGUGUACGCUACAACUCUUCCUCCUUGCAUUAACACUCCUCCGAAUCCUUGACGUGAGGCAUCACAGUAUACUUGAAAAUCCUCGUAGGUCAGGCAAAACAAGGAUGGGUGUAGACACUAGUCUUUUCUUCAAUUCCUGGAAACUUUCUUCGCAGUUCUCGUUCCAGGUAAACUUCUUUUCCUUCUUCAAGAGCUCAGUCAUGCGUUUCGCUAUCUUAGAGAAAUUCUCAAUGAAUCUACGAUAAUAUCCAGCAAGUCCAAGGAAACUACGGACUUCUCCGACGCUCUUUGGUGCCUCCCAGUCUGUAACUGCUGCAACCUUAGCUGGGUCAACGGCUACUCCGGCUCCUGACACUAUGUGUCCAAGAAAGCUGACUUCUGAUAACCAAAAUUCACACUUGCUGAAUUUGGCGUACAGCUGGUGCGCUCUCAACUUCUCCAAAAUCAUGCGCAGAUGCUGCUCAUGCUCUUCCUUGCUUUUGGAAUAGAUCAAGAUGUCAUCUAUGAAAACUACGACAAACUUGUCCAAGAAUUCCAUGAACACCUUGUUCAUCAUGUUCAUGAAGUAUGCAAGUGCAUUGGUCAAACCAAAAGGCAUCACAGUGUACUCAUACAGUCCAUACCUAGUGGUGAAUGCUGUCUUGGGUAUAUCCAUCUCCCGAAUUUUCAACUGGAAAUAUCCUGAUCGCAGAUCGAUCUUUGAGAACACUUGAGCUCCCUUCAACUGGUCGAAUAAAUCAUUGAUGAUGGGCAAGGGAUACUUAUUCUUUAUCGUCACCUCGUUUAGUGAACGAUAGUCAAUGCACAUCCGUUGGCUCUUGUCCUUCUUUUCUACAAACAGGACAGGUGCUCCCCAUGGUGAUGAACUGGGGCGGAUGAAACCUUUCGCUAACUGUUCAGCUAGCUGCUUCUUCAAUUCCUUCAAUUCAUCCACAGCCAUCUUAUAAGGUCUCUUGGCUAUGGGUCUACUUCCAGGCAUCAAUUCAAUGAGAAACUCGACAUCCCGGUCUGGUGGCAUACCUGGCAAUGUUGGGAUGGUGUAAUGGUGAGCGGUGCAAACCAAAUACAAGAAAUCGUUUCGCUUAUAAAUGCAAACAAUAUUGUCAAUCUUCUUGCUGGAAUGUUAUUCAUCAUGAUUGUUUUACUAAUUAUCUCAUGAGACUUUGUUAUAAAAGAUUAAUUGUGCAAGAAAGGAGAUGUAUAAAGAUGGAUGACAUAUACAUAUACCAUACACACACUUUGUCUAUUUUGUCAGUCUCUUUACAGCACAAACGACGCCGAGGACGGCUUUCCUUUCAAGAAAGGGAGGAUGAUAUGGACAUGCUAACCAUGGAUACGACCUUUGGUGCCCUCAAUUCUAUAAUAUUUGACAAGAUUUAUAAUCAGGUGAAUUCAAGUAGUAAUUGUUUUCAUUGUCAUAUUUAUGAAGAGGCGGAGCUACUACUAUCUUGUCUCGUUUUAUUACGUAGGCAUCUUGUCGAGCUUUUCAAGUCCAAGGUGAAGAUGAGAUACGAUGGGAUUUCAAGUGUACUUUGCAACAAAUCAAACAGCACAUGAUUCGGAGCUUGCUAGAGAAAGAUAUCACGAAUUAAAGUUGAAUCCGAUUCGGGUCCGAGCUGCCAGGAGACCCGAAUUUGUUUUAAUCACCCAGGCCGCAUCCGGAGUCCAAAUCAAGCAAACAAGUACUUGUUGGAAAGGUAAUUACAAGACCUUUCCAACGGAUCUGGCCCCAUCAAGAGAUUCCACUCGUGCUGACCGUGGCGGACAAAACAAGCUGACGGAUCUGUUUUUCUGUUUCCUAAAGAGUUGUAGUUUGUUAGGAAAGUUAGAGAUAGAGUUGGAUUUCGGACUCCUUAUUCAAGGUGGACGAAAAUAUCUAUCACUCCUCCUUUAUAUACCCCAUGAGCCCCCCUAAGGAGCCUUGGGUUUUGAUUAGAUAAAGUUUAGCCAUCUUUGCUACUUUCGUGUAAUCGCGUGUGUCGGUUAGACCACCUGUUUUACCGUCAUCAAGACUCCAACUUAUCGUCUCGUUGAGACAUUGGUUUGAUAUAGUAUAUUCGCAAUUUUAGAUUGCAUCCGCUAUUUAUCUUGUUCUUGCUUGUUCUUCGAUUGCUUGCAGGAACAAAGACCUUCGUGGUCAGGUUUAUCGUGCCCCCGCGUGAUCAAUAACCCUCUGGAGUUGGUGUAUCGAUUGCUAAGGCGCUGCCUGCUAGGCCGUAGUCGGAUCGUCAACGUCACCUCCUACCCAAAUCGAGAGUUAUCAAUCUCAUCGAAAGAUCGGGCCACCCGCACCCGUAUCACGUGGUAUCAGAGCUUAAGGUUGCUCGGUGAGAUUUUUCCAGUUUAUCCGUAGUUUAGAUCUGUUUUUACCUAUCGUCCAGAAAAAGCCAAACAAAAAUUAGAAUUAGUUAUCAUGUCCUAGAACCAAUCUGAGCCUUGCAAUUUUCACUUUAGUAUUUGCAUUGUUGAAUCUUUACUGCAUUCAUCGUGUCGAGUUGCUGGAUUAGAUUUGAUCGUUUUUUAGAUUUUUUCUACUAGAUCGAACUUGCUUUUGGUUUUCUUGUUUUUCGUGUGACGCAGGUUUCCUUCAUCAAUCUUCCGCCGCCAAACUUCCUGCCGCCAUAAUCUCCCGCCGCCACCAUAUCUUCCACCGAGUCCUUCUUCGAGUCCUACACCGAGUCCCUCCUUGAGUCUUACACCGAGUCUCUCGUCAAGUCCUACACUGUGUCCCUCUUCGAGUUCUACAUCGAGUCGGCAAGUUAUAGUUUUUAGCUGCGAGUUCGAGUCCGAGUCCAAUAAGGAGUGCUUUUGGAAAGUGUUUCAUCAUAGAUCGAAUUUUGUUUAGAGAUCAAGUUGUUUGGAAAGAUGAAAAAAAAGAAAGGAAAGAAAAAAAAAGGAAAGAAAGAAAGAAAAAAACGAAAAAAAAAGAGAAAGAGUUCGAGUCAGUUUCGGACCCGAGUCCGAGUAGAAUUUUAGUUUCGGGUGGGUUUGACCCGUGUUCAGUAAAACGGGCGUAUCUUUUGUGUACCAACUCGGAUUUGGACGUUUUUGGACUUUUUGGAAAGCUCACGACGAGGCACAUCAGGAAAUAUCCAGGACUUUGACCCUCAAAUUCGUUUUGUAAGGUGGACUUUCGGAGCUUCCAAGUUUUUGCAUCCGUUUUCCGGCGUCGCUGCAGCCCGGUGUUUCUCAGUUUUCUCCACCGUCCGACAUCCGUUUUGAGUGAUCUUGCCCUUGCUGGAAAGCUUGUGUCGAUACCCUUCUAACCCAUAUUUUUCUCAAUUUUUCUUUCUGCAGCCUUUGCUGUUCUUCGACAGACCGACGUACAAUUUUCCGGUCCUUCUUUUGCGUGAGUUUCUGGGGUUAAAAAAAAGAAAAAAGAAAAAAAGAAGAAGAAAAGAAUAAGAAGCCAAACAGAAGGCCACAAAAAGAAAAAAAUUCCCAGGGAUUUACUUGUUGUGCCAUCUUUCUAUCCUACCUUCUUCAGUAUCUAGGCUUAGAUUAUUUCUGUAAUUCGUUCUUAUCGACUCCAGCAGCUAGGACUAGCAUUAUUGAGCAUAUUUUCAACUUUGCAUUGCUGAUUUGAUUAUUUUCUAUUCCUUGCUACUCACAAAAGCCUCCAAGCUCCACAGACUCUACACCUAGGUUGGUUUGUUACCGAGGCAUCGAUACAUUUAAUCUCCAGAGGUGUUGGUUACGCCGCUGGCCAUCACCUUCCUGUUUUGCAUGGUAAGAACUUGUAAGAACUUGAUUUUUAGCUUGAGAGUUGAGCGACUUGUAGCCACAUCCUAGUAGUUGAUAGGAACAUAUUACUGUGAUUUGUUUCUUGUUUUCUACUAACCAUGACAGGACUUACACGAAGCAUGGCAACUAGACCGAUGCUAUCCCGUGACCGCGAUGAGUGCUUUUCACCACGGCCAUCCUCCACGUCUCUUGUUGAUAAUGCCACGGCAACGGUACAAAACAAUCCUUCUAAUACAAUUAAAUUGUGUGUACCUUUCUUUGAGGGGGAAAAUGAUGCUGAAACGUAUAUAGAUUGGGAGCUAGCUUUAACUGAACAAUUCACAUGCUUCCAUGUACUAGAUAGUCGUAAGGUCCAAAUUGCUAGUAGUAAAUUUCGUUUUGAUGCAUUAUCAUGGUGGUGUGAGAUAGUUAGAGAAAACAAAAUACCUCACACUUGGAUUGAUAUGAAGAAAAUCAUGAGAGAAAAAUAUGUUCCUCCAAGUUAUGCUUAUGAGUUGCGUUCCAAAUUAUGACGUUUGACACAAGAUGAUAAAACUGUUGAUGAUUACUACCAUGAGUUCCAAAUUUUAACCUUGCGAUCUGGUUUAGAUGAAACCGAACAAAGAAAAAUGGAUAGGUUUUAUUGUGGGCUUAACUUUGAUAUUUCUUACAUAAUUGAAUACGGAAAAUACGACUCUCUAUUGUUUUUGCUUAAUCUUGCUCAUGAAGCGGAGAGGAAAUUGGAGAGAAGGUGUACAAGAAACGUGUUGAGCCUACAAGGUAAUGAUAAAGAUGAUUGUGUUGCUGAACAAAAUAUGACAUGUGAUGAAAUAAAUGAGAUACCCGUUGAAUUUUCUGCACCAUGUGAAAUUGUUGAUUUACAUGCUGAUUUGAGUGCACCUACUGCUCAAAUUAAUUCUCCUAAUGAUUUGAGUGCACAUAUUAAUUUUGAUAUUGAUGAGAAUGAAUCAUGUGAGGAAAUAACUAAUGUUUUGGGAGAAACAUGUGAUGUAGAUAAAUUUGGUUUAGGUUGUGUCGACUUAUUUACACAUGGAGUGAUUGAGAACGAUCCACCUAUUAAUUCUUUGUGUUAUAUUGCACCUGAUAGUCCCAUGUAUUUGUCGCAUGCAAUGGAUAAACUGUGUGAGUUAACAAUUUCGAAAUCUUUUGCUGUUCACGGAUACACAAUUCAUUUAAUUGGACAACAUGAUGUGAACAAUAACAUUUUGGUGCAUGAGAUUUGCAUUACUUGUGAUAAUUUUUCUCUCUUGGGAGAAAAGAAAUUUUUGCACAUGCUUAAUCAUUUUGAUAGGACCUCCAAUAUAGGUGUUGAUUAUUUGCCAAAUAGUUAUUUACAUGCUUGUUUGAAUAUUAGUGCUUUGACUUGCUCUAAAUUUCAGCAUAUUGUAGUAACUAAUUUGGAUACUAUUCAUUAUUAUUCUCCAAUGUUGGGAUGGUGUAAUGGUGAGCGGUGCAAACCAAAUACAAGAAAUCGUUUCGCUUAUAAAUGCAAACAAUAUUGUCAAUCUUCUUGCUGGAAUGUUAUUCAUCAUGAUUGUUUUACUAAUUAUCUCAUGAGACUUUGUUAUAAAAGAUUAAUUGUGCAAGAAAGGAGAUGUAUAAAGAUGGAUGACAUAUACAUAUACCAUACACACACUUUGUCUAUUUUGUCAGUCUCUUUACAGCACAAACGACGCCGAGGACGGCUUUCCUUUCAAGAAAGGGAGGAUGAUAUGGACAUGCUAACCAUGGAUACGACCUUUGGUGCCCUCAAUUCUAUAAUAUUUGACAAGAUUUAUAAUCAGGUGAAUUCAAGUAGUAAUUGUUUUCAUUGUCAUAUUUAUGAAGAGGCGGAGCUACUACUAUCUUGUCUCGUUUUAUUACGUAGGCAUCUUGUCGAGCUUUUCAAGUCCAAGGUGAAGAUGAGAUACGAUGGGAUUUCAAGUGUACUUUGCAACAAAUCAAACAGCACAUGAUUCGGAGCUUGCUAGAGAAAGAUAUCACGAAUUAAAGUUGAAUCCGAUUCGGGUCCGAGCUGCCAGGAGACCCGAAUUUGUUUUAAUCACCCAGGCCGCAUCCGGAGUCCAAAUCAAGCAAACAAGUACUUGUUGGAAAGGUAAUUACAAGACCUUUCCAACGGAUCUGGCCCCAUCAAGAGAUUCCACUCGUGCUGACCGUGGCGGACAAAACAAGCUGACGGAUCUGUUUUUCUGUUUCCUAAAGAGUUGUAGUUUGUUAGGAAAGUUAGAGAUAGAGUUGGAUUUCGGACUCCUUAUUCAAGGUGGACGAAAAUAUCUCUCCCUCCUCCUUUAUAUACCCCAUGAGCCCCCCUAAGGAGCUUUGGGUUUUGAUUAGAUAAAGUUUAGCCAUCUUUGCUACUUUCGUGUAAUCGCGUGUGUCGGUUAGACCACCUGUUUUACCGUCGUCAAGACUCCAACUUAUCGUCUCGUUGAGACAUUGGUUUGAUAUAGUAUAUUCGCAAUUUUAGAUUGCAUCCGCUAUUUAUCUUGUUCUUGCUUGUUCUUCGAUUGCUUGCAGGAACAAAGACCUUCGUGGUCAGGUUGAUCGUGCCCCCGCGUGAUCAAUAACCCUCUGGAGUUGGUGUAUCGAUUGCUAAGGCGCUGCCUGCUAGGCCGUAGUUGGAUCGUCAACAUCACCUCCUACCCAAAUCGAGAGUUAUCAAUCUCAUCGAAAGAUCGGGCCACCCGCACCCGUAUCAGAAGGUGCCAAGUAUGAUACCUGGUUCCUCGGUGAUCUCUUCCACAUCCACGUGAUUCACGUGGCCCUUCUGGAUUGGAUUGGGCUUGUUCCCAGUGCCAUCCUGGUUGUCUGGGCAGUUGGUGGCAUAGUGUCCCAUCUUGUGACACUUGUAGCACUCCACCUUGCUCAUGUCCUUAUUGCCAUUGUGGUUCUGACCAUUGUUGUUCUGGCCGUUGCCGUUGUUCCUGCCAUUUCCGUUGCCAUUCAUGGGCCUUGGGCGAGCGAACUGGUGCUGUUGCUGAUGUUGGUGCUGCUGAUGGUGCCGGUUCACAUUGCCACCCUGAUGGUGGUGUCCUUGGCUUCCCUGGCGGUGGUGGUGACUAUUUCCUCCACUGCGGUGGCUGUUCUGGUUCCUGUUCCUGCUCAAGGAGAAACUGCCACUUCCAUCAUAGGAGGUGCGCUGCUUCUGGUGCGGGCCAGUGUGAGAGCCUCCUUGGUGAAAUCUCUUCUUGCGGUUUUCUAACUGAUUUAGCUUACUCUCCAGAAUGAUGGCCUUGUCAAUCAAUGACUGGUAGGUGGGGGUGUAAGCAAUAGCAAGUUGAACUGACAGCUCGUCGUUCAGACCGUCCAGAAACUUCUCCCUGCGCUUGGCAUCGGUAUUCACAUCAUCCGGUGCAUAGCGGGAUAGUUGGUUGAAAACCUCUAUAUAUUCUGACACGGAGCGGCUUCCCUGUCGCAGCUUGUGGAAUUUUUUCUUCUUCAGGCCGAGCACUCCCGCAGAGAUGUGGGCGGUGCGGAAGGCUUCCUGGAACAUGUCCCAGGUGACAUCCUCGAUGGGGGUGGUAAUCUGAAAAUUCUCCCACCAAAAUGCUGCGGGUCCUUCUAGCAGAUGAGCUGCAAACCGCACUUUCUCUUCCUCAGUGCAGUUGAUGGUGACCAAAUUCUUAUUGACUGAACGAAUCCAAUCGUCAGCCAUAAUAGGCUCAGUGGAGCUGGAAAAAGUGGGCGGGCGCAAACGUAGAAAUCUGGUCAGCAUAUCCACUUGGGGUGGGUGGUGUUGCUGGUUGUUGUGGUUCUGCUGGUUGUUGUUGUUGUUGUUGUUGGCCAACUGUUGGGUGAUCAUCUGGAAGAAUUGGGUCUGGGCGGCCAAUAACUGUUGCAUGGUGGCAGCAUUCCCUUCUACGUUGGCAUUGUUAGCCUCGGCGUUGUUGGCGGGGUUCCGGCGUCUCGGAAGCAUCUAUUUAGGGUAGUAUAGAUGAGGAAACAGAUAGAAUAGAGUUAAGGAUAACUAAACCCCCAAACAAGACAUAACUCAAACAUAUAUCAAUCAUACACUCAUCAAUCAUAAAAGGUUUUGAAAAAUCAUAGCAAAACACACUUGUUUAUGGUGGGACAUUGCCCAUAAAGAAAAGAGUACGGGAAAAAGCAAUCGACCUACAUUGCCAUACACAUAGAUUGUAUGGUCAAUGACUAACUCGCAAUGCUGAUAACGAUAAAAACUAAUAUAAGCUGGUAGGCAUCAAUAGAUCUAAGGGAGUGUGGCUGUCGGUGUGGUCCUGUUCGCCUUCAUCUUGGAGCGGGUGUUGGUAGCAGGGGUGUCCAUCUCGUGGACCUCCUGGGGCUCCUCCUCCUCAGUCAGUUCCUCCUCCUGAGGCUCCAUCUCCUGAUCCUGUGGUGGAGGUGGGAACUGGACAGGCGUCGGUGCCGCAGCUGGUGCUGCUGCGGCUGCGGCUGCGAUGAACGCCUGGAACUGCUCGCAAUAGUAGCGAGCCUGGUCCCUCUCAUACUGCAGCUGCUCGAUGGCGUCUCCCAUGUUGUGGACAGUGUUCUCCAACACGGCCUUGUCCUCGAGCCACUGGGUCUUCUCUCCCAGUAGAUUACCAACCUGCUCCUCGGUUAGGUCGGCCCUGAUCAUCUCGUGCUCGAGACAAGACUCCAAGUCCAAAGUGUUUAUCUCCAUGUUCUCGAAGUGGGUCGUCACUAGGGUUGCAUCCUCAUCGUUUGUCGUAGCCACUGCCGAGCAUGCAUGGUUCCGCCUUCCAAAGAGGAGGAAGGGGGAGUUCUCGGGGACCUCGUGCCGAUAGUCCCGGCACACCUGUGCGAAGGCUCACUGCAUGGCGAACUGAAGGCCCUGCUCGAAGGUGGGGUAGCGGCUGAUGAAGGUGAUAUCCGGCGUAGCUAGCGCGAUCUCACGCCCGCGGAUCUUCACCUCGAUCUCCCACCGUGGCUGCCAUCCCUCGGGUGCGGCGGUCUCGACUCGGCCUCUGAACCUAGGUGGUGGCAGGUCGAGGAAAGCACACAGUGCCGCCAAAGGGGCACUGAACAACUGGUCGUCGUCCGUGGAGGGGUAGUAGACGCGGGUGAACGGCGGUACAUUGCCGAACGGUGUUGGGCUUCCCAUCUAUAGAAAAAAAAUAAAGAAAGAGAUAAGGGAGUAUCAGUGACAUGAUCAAAUGGUCGAAUGUAAGUAAAAGUAAAACACAAGUGGUAGAGCGGGAAUCAAGUGAUAGACAUUAAUAUCAGGGUGGAAAUGUAAAUAUAAAAUUGGAUGCAUAAUAAUAUGUGAAUAACCUGGCAAGAUGAUUAUAGUGGUGUAUGGUGUAAAAAUCAAAUAUGCAUCUGUGGUAUAAUAUAAUAAACAUGCAUAUGUGGUAAUAAACAUAGUAUUCGGUGUAUAUGUGGAAUAAACAAUAAACAUGUCAUGCAUAUGUAAGAUAUAAAUGCAAAGAUUCAGAUGAAUAGGGAUAAGGAGUAAGAUACAUGUAUAUGUAUAUAGAUCAGAUGGGGAUAAGAAAUAAUCCUAAGGUUUGGUCUUUGGUCUUGUCUUAUCCUAAUCCAACCUAGGGUCACGUUCCUACAGGCAACACAUUGCUCUGUUACCAUCUGAAGCGAUCCUCCCCCUUACUAGGGUUCGAUCUCUGUGCUUACUGUGCUAGUCCCUGGAUCGACUCACUAGCACACACAGUUUCAUGAUGAAGUAUACAGAAACAAAGGUCAAAAGUACUUUAUUACAUCGCAUCAUCUAGAAUUUAAAUAGUACUUACAACCUCGCAUGACCUCUGGGACCAGCAUAAAACAAAUUCUGUUUCAACAUCAUAAAACAAUGUUUCAAAAUACUGCAGCGGAAAAGGGUAGAACAUAAGGGCCACACUACUCCAAGGUGAGGGCAUGUUGGAAUGUAAGUACAGGACCCACAACAAAACGACGAACCUCACUCAUCAUCGGAUCCACCUGCAUUGUUAAUUGCAGCCACUAUGUGGUCAAUACAUUUGAAUGUAUUGGCAAGUUCACCAGAGAUAUAACAGAUCCUAUCAAGUAUAUGUAAUAUUUGGCUAGGUGGGGUUUGGCUAUUUGCAUAAAGCAUCAUUAUUCAAUCCUAUCAUUUUUAAACAAAUAGUUUUGAAUUCUAUUGGACACGGGGUAGAAACACCCAUGCUCCUAUUAACCUAGGCACAUUGAGUAGAAACAUCAAUGCUCCUACCCAGUUCAAUCCAUUCAUUUUAUUAGGAAACUGGAAUGAGUGAGACCUUCCUUACAGCCCCAAUAUCUAGUUGCUCAUAAUUGUCCGUAACCGGGGACACGGCUAAGUACUUAGUUUGACACUCUCGAGAGAAAUCGACGUGUUAAUCCCUUGCUAUCCUCCAGGUGGAGUAGAAACGGCAUCGAUUACAGGAAUUUUCAGAACAUAUUCCCCCAAACCACCUGAGGGACGCGUUCCAACCUACACUGCUACAUACCGAUGUCACCUCGGAUCCAGGUUCAUAUUUCUUACAUCCAUCCUGGCAGAGCCCAUAAUACCAUGUGGUUGUACUGGAAGCUACUAAACAGGAAACUAGUCCAGUCUCUGGUUAUCCCGGGUGGCAUCCCACAUUGUGACGCAGGCGCUCCCCAAAUCGCACGGGGAGACGACCAUGGACGCUCCCGAAUCACACGGAGAGACGACUCAGCAGGCCCCAUAGAAAUGGACCUAACGUCACGACAUCCGAAAACUCAAAGCAGCCCACCCAGGACGGUUCCUGAUUAAUCCGAUCUAAUCUACACCGUUGGAGAUGGACGAACGGACGGGAUUGAUCAAGGAGCUCACCGGCGCUAGGGUUUCGGCCGAGGUCUGAGACGAACGCGGCGGCGACGGCGCAGGGCGGCGACACAGGCGGCUCGGGGAUGGGCGGGGUCAACACGGCGCGUCGGGGCGAAGGCGGGGGCGCGGGGUCAGGUGGUCAGGGCCUCGCCUAGAUCGAAGACGAGCGGGCGGCGCGAGCGGCGGACGACGGCGCGGCCUCGGGCGUUCGUCGACGGGGAGCUGGAGCGCACGAAAAGAAAAAAGGAGCGCGUCAUCUUGACCGCGAGGGAGAGAGAAGAAGAGAGAGAGGGACGGCUUCGAGGUUUCCUCACGGAGGUCGUCGGUGUGAUGCGAAGACGGCGACGGCGCGUGUGCGGCUCCGGCGAGCGAUUCCGGCGGCCUAGCGGCGUAAUCGAGGGGGAGGGCAGAGGGGAAAAGAGGAGGGGGCCGCGGGGUUUAAAUGGACGCGCUCGGGGCUACGAGAUAUGGACAGAGCGCGGAGUUUCCGGCGGUGAUGGCGCGUGGCGGCGAAGAAGGAAGGCAGCGCGCGUCGUGGGCGCCUUCCAAACAGGGAAGAAGCCCCUGACAGGUGGGUCCCACCUGUCAGCGGGUGCGGGCGCGGCGCGGGCGAGCGGCUGGGCCGGGGCGGUGGCGCGCGCGAGGGAUUGGGCCGGUUCGGCCCAAAGUGGCUGGGCCGGUCCGGUUUCCUCUUUUUUUUUUCUUUUAGCCUUUUAUUUUUCUGCUUUUCUCAUUUCUUUGAUAACUUUUGAUUUUGAACUCCAAAUUGGUCCAAAUAAAUUUCAGAAAAUUUGUAAAAUCAUGUUCUACCAUGAUACCACAUUUGGGAGUAGUUUCCCCUCAAAAUAAAAUGCAUAAAAAUACAUUUGCUCUAUAAAUGCCUUUAGGGCUAUAUAUCUAUUUAAAUAAAAUACUUUUUCAACUCCAAAUAAUUAUCCAAAAAUUAUGGGAUAGCUUAUAUAUGCAUUAAACCCCUUUCAUGCAUAAACCCUAUUGGUUUGAAAAUUCCAAAGCCCAAAUAGGUGUAAACAAAGUCUUUUAAAGCCUUUUGAGAUUCAAAUUUGAAUUCAAACAUGCGAUUGUGGCAUGAUGCUUAUGGAUGCAAUGCACAUGUCAAAGUUUGAAAUUUUUGGGAUGUUACAGACCUAACCCCCUUGAGAUGAAUCUCGUCCUCAAGAUUCGGUGUGGUUAGCAAAAAGGUGUGGGUUGUCUUCUUUAAGAUCAUCUUCGCGCUCCCAAGUGGCUUCUUCUUCUGUGGGAUGGUCCCACUGGACUUUGCAAAACUUGAUGGUCUUGGAUCGGGGUUGUCUCUCAGCUAUAUCCAAGAUCCUGAUCGGUUUCUCCUCAUAGGUGAGGUCACUCUGCAAUUGCACUUCCUCAAGGGGUAUCGUAUCCCUUAGUGGUGUAUCGGCCAUCUCAGGGUGACACUUCUUCAGUUGCGAUACAUGGAGGACAUUGUGGACAUUGGACAGUGUUUUCGGUAAAUCCAACUUGUAAGCCACUUCUCCUUGGCGUGACAAGAUCUUGAAAGGCCCAAUGAAAUGGGGUGCUAGCUUUCCCUUGAUUCCAAAUCUUUUAACUCCGUGUAUCGGUGAAACUCUGAGAUAUAUGCUCUAUCCUCAGCCUCGUAGGUCACCUCCCUACGUCUGGUAUCGGCGUAGCUCUUUUGUCUUGACUAGGCUACCUUCAGCCGGUCUCGGAUGAGUCUAACCUUUUCUUCGGCAUCCUUUAUCAGGCCCGGGCCGAAUAGGCUACGGUCUCCUACACCAUCCCAUAACAAUGGUGUUCUGCACUUUCUUCCAUACAAAGCUUCAAACGGUGACAUUCCUAUGCUGGCUUGGAAGCUAUUGUUGUAAGAAAAUUCUGCAUACGGCAGAUUGUCAUCCCAACUGGAUCCAUAAUCUAGAGCACAGGCUCUCAACAUAUCUUCAAGGAUCUGAUUUACUCUCUCGGUCUGUCCAUCCGUCUGCGGAUGAAAAGCUGUGCUGAAUUCUAGUCUCGUUCCUAGAGAGUCAUGUAGUUGUCCCCAAAUCUUGAGGUAUGGGUACCUCUGUCUGAAACUAUUUCCUUGGGUACUCCGUGUAAACACACUAUUCUGGAUAUGUACUGUUUCGCUAACUGUGCGCUGGUGUAAGUAGUCUUUACUGGUAUGAAGUGGCAACCUUGGUCAAACGAUCAAUCACUACCCAAAUAGAAUCAUAUCCUGAUCUGGUCCUUGGUAAACCGGUGAUAAAGUCCAUGCCAACUUUAUCCCAUUUCCAGUCCGGUAUAGGCAAUGGUCUCAGCAAUCCUGCUGGCUUCUGGUCCUCUGCCUUAACCCUGCUGCACACAUCACACAAGGCAAUGAACUCUGCGAUGUCACGCUUCAAUCCGGACCACCAAAAUGUUUCCUUGAGGUCCAUGUACAUCUUUGUGUUUCCAGGGUGGAUUGAGUACGGUGAGUCGUGGGCCUCUUGUAAAAUCAGCUUUCUGAUUUUCGGAUCCUGUGGUACACAUAUGCGUUUUCCGUGAUUCGUCGGUACCGGUUCGGGAAUUAAACUUGUCAUGGCCAUUGGAUCUCACUUAAAAGAAAUGGAAGCCCGAGAUCGGAAAAUACCCCUUCGUUUUAAAGGGAUCUAAUCUCGGCCGUUGGUCAUGAUCCAACGGUCCAAGGUGGCCAGCUCACCUUCGGAGGCUUCUAGUGCUCCGGCGACAACUCCGGCUCGGCGUGGCUCAGGCGGUGGCGCGCAGGGAUGCUCUGCUGGUCUUCGGGCUCAGGGAAAUCGUCGGCGAGGGGCAGCGCGGUGUGACGGAGAGGAUGAUGUGGCUAGUUUGUCCCGAGGACGACGAGGGCGGCGUCUAGCUCGAUGAGGAACGGUGGCGGCAUGGGCGGAGCUCCGGUGAACGGUGUCGGGCGGCUUCGGUGCACCAAACACAAAAUGGUCCGCGUCAAAACGUGCGCAAAGGAGAGAGGAGGAAGAAAUUGCCGGGAGUUUGGACCAAGUCUCACCGGUGUGACGACGGCGAGUGACAGAACGGCCGGCGGCGUGGCAACUCCGGCGAGGAAUUCCGCAGCGUGGGCGCGGAAUUGGGAGGAGUGGGCAGGGGGGAAAUGGAGAGGGGAGGCAAGGGCUCGAAGUGACGCGCUCGGAAUCGUCUUUUAUAGGUCGAGGAGGGAGAUCGGGCAUGGAUGCCAACGGGUGGCAUUUACAGGCGUAGGCCAUUGAUGAGGAUAGAAGGCCUUGAAUAGGGUGAUUAAUGGGGGGAAUUAAGGAGAGGGCAACCUUGGGGUUCGAUUCAGUGUACCUGGACGGGAUUCGGGACAAGGAAGCAUGGGGAUUGGAUUAGGGCAGCCAUGGUGUGCGUGUGUUCUUUCAGUACGUGGAAGUGCUGGAGGAAGAAGACGACUUCGUGCAGGCCUUGGGCUGGGGUGCUCGGUCAGGCGAUGGGCCAGGGAAAGGGAGGACCAGGGAGAAAGAGGAAAAAAAAAAGAGAAAGGAGGGGAAUGGGCCGCUCUGCUGGGCUGCUCGGGUGCGCGAGUGGGCUGGGCCGGUCGGUCGCGGGCGCGCACGGGGUGACCGGACCAGGUCGGCCGGGCCGGUCCGUUUUUCUUUUUUUUUGUUCUUUUCUUUUUCUCCUUUUCUUUUUUCUAUUUUUCCUUUAUACCUUUUGAUUUUGAACUCCAAGUGAACUCAAAUAAAUUCUAGAAAAAUCGUAGAGUCAUAUCUUUUUAUGAUCCAACUCUUGGGACUAAAUUCCCUUCAAAAUAAAAUAGUUGAAAAUACUUUUGCCUAUAUAAUUGCCUCUAUGGCCAUAUUACUAAUAACAUAAAAUAGAUUUUUAACUCCAAAUUGAACGACAAAUAUAUGGGGUAGCUUAUUAAUGCAAUAAACCCCUUUCUACUGCCUCAACCCUAUGGGUUUGAAAAAUCCAAAAAGAUGUAAAGUAGGAUUAAAGGCAAAUAACUUAAUAAAAAGGUUUUAAAUUUUAAAUCUUUGGUUUAAAGGUGUUCAAUGUGCAUAAAUGGAUGAUAUUCAUGAGUGCAAAUGCAUGAUGCAAGGUUUGGAAAAAUUGGGACGUCACGUUGUCCCACUCUCAACGAUGGAAUAAAUGUUUGAAUAACAUUUGCACAUGAGGAUGUCACGUUAUCCUCUUCUCGAAUAUUUGAUAACAUGUUCUCGAAAACAAAAUGAACAUGACAAAAUAAAAAUCGAGAAAACAUAGGUGAAUCAUUAAAUAUUUUUCCAACCUUAUAAUCAGGAAAGACAUGUUAUUCCCUCUCUUUAACAUUUAAAUAAAUGUUGGAAAGCAUUUCUAAUCGAUUCAAAUAUUCCAACGAUGCUCUCAAUUGGUCAUGGCAUCCAAAUUGGAAUCUUAGCGUUUUAUUAAAUCCUUUAAAAAGAAAAUAGGUUUUAUUAAGAUAAAAAGAAUUAUCCGGAUAAAAUCAUAAUGUGCAAAUGGUUCCAAAUAGAAUACUUUGAACUUACAUAAAUGUCCCAACCAUGUUGUAUAAUUUGGAUAGUCAUAUUAAUCCACUCUUUUGUUGAAUAUUCAAACUUCGUGUGGAAAAAUUUAAGUAAGUCCAAAAAAUUUCAAAUCCUUCAGAAAUUCACAACCAAAAUAUCUCCAAAGACAAUAUUUUAUUUAAAAAAAUUAUUUUAUUUAACAUUCCAAAAUGGGAAAAUUUUGGGAUGUUACACGACGGUACCGGGGUGCCUCCAGGGUGCUGGAGCUUUGGGGGGUUGCAGGUGGGGCUGACGGAACCGUGAAGACAAGACGAGACAGCGGACGCAGUGCAUUUAAUGCACCGACAGAAGUCACAUCGGCAGGGCUAGUCUUGCUGAACAAGUCUAGAGCGGCUACCCUAGGAUAAAUUUUAUUUACAAUGCACCGUGGCCUGGGCGCUGCAUGAAGCCCAGCGUGGAUCUACAGUAGAGUAAGUUUGGUGGCAAUAACACGCGUGUAGUUAACGUGUCACGCUGCAUGCAUCGGCACCUGUGGUAUGCCCUUGUCUAUAAAAAGAGGACCAAUGCCAUCGGUCAAAGGGUUCAAACCCUAGUUGGUAACAACUAGUUUUGAAUCCAUUCAUAGCAGAAUCCCUUAGAAGAACAAGUAGCCCACCCGGGAACCCCCGGGCAAUCUGCAAGAACACACAAAUUCGUGAAUACAACUAAAGGCAGGUUGUAGGGUGUUACACCUCCGGGUGGCCCGAACCUGGGUAAAUCUGAUUAUCUACACUUCAUGUCUUACGUCAUGACGGCGAUCGCCGGAGUGCUCACCUCGCCCCUCACCGAACAACAAGGGGGUGUCCAGCAUCCCCGGUGCUAGAGACCCGUGCUCCGACAAUAAUCUAGAGCGCAAGCUCUCAACAUAUCCUUAAGUAUCUGAUUUACUCUUUCGGUCUGUCCAUCCGUCUGCGGAUGAAAUGUUGUGCUGAACUCUAGCCUCGUGCCUAGUGACUCAUGUAAUUGUCCCCAAAAUCUUGAGGUAAAUUGGGUACCUAUGUCUAAAACUAUCUCCUUGGGUACUCCGUGCAAGCACACAAUUUUUGACAUCUAGCGUUUUGCUAAUUGAGCACUGGUAUAGGUGGUCUUCACCGCUAUGAAAUGGGCAACCUUGGUCAAACGGUCAACCACUACCCAUAUAGAGUCAUAUCCUGAUCUAGUCCUUGGUAAUCCUGUGAUAAAUCCAUGCUUACUUUAUCCCAUUUCCAGUCUGGCACCGGCAACGGUUGUAGCAGUCCUGCUGGAUUCUGGUGUUCAGCUUUGACGUUGUUACAUACAUCGCACAAAGCGAUAUACUCAGUGAUGUCACGCUUUAAUCCAGACCACCAAAAUGUUUUCCUUCAAAUCCAUGUACAUCUUUGUGUUUCCCGGAUGAAUCGAGUAGGGCUAAUCAUGGGCUUCUUGAAAUAUCAACUUUCUGAUCUUAGGAUCCUGUGGCACGCAAAUGCGCUUCUCAAACCAUAUGGUACCUUGGUCAUCCUCAUGAAAACCUUUUGCUCUGUUUUCAGUCAUCUUGAUCUUUAUCUAUUCGAUUUCUGCAUAAGUUUUCUGAGCUUCUCUGAUUCUGUCCAACAACUUGGGUUGUACCUCCAUGUUGGCAAGAUAACCUUCUUGUACAAUCUCCAAUCUGAGCUCUUUCAACUGUUCGCACAAAUCAGGUGGUAGUUCUCGAGCUAUGAGUCCAUUCACAUAGCCCUUGCGGCUUAAUGCAACAUCCCAAUUUUCAAAACCCUUCAUAUGCAUUGCAUAUCAUGAGCAUCAUGUCACCCUUGCAUUUAAUCACAUUUGAUAACCCUAAAAUUUACCCUGAGAAUCCCUGUUCAAAAGUGCUUUUAUUUGAUUUUGGGCUUUGAUCUUACUUUCAAGCAUUUGUGUUUUAACCCAUGAGGGUAUUGGUAUAAAAAGGGAUUUAAUGCAUAUAUAAAGCUAUCCCAUAAGUUUGCUUUUGAAAUUAUUUUGAAAAUUAUUUUAUUUUGAUAGCCUAAGGGCCCUAAAAGCCAUUUUAUAAGCAAAUGUACUUUUAAGUAUUUUAUUUUGAGAAAAUUCUUGUUCCAGAAGUUAGAUCAUAUGAAAAUAUGAUUUUACAAAUUUUGUUGCAAUUUAUUGGGAGUGAUUUGGAGCUUUGAAUCAAUUUUGAAGUUUAAAAAACAGAAAAUAGAAAAAAAAUGAAAAGAAAAACCGAACCGGCCGAACCAGACCGAACUGGACCGCCCGACCGGCCUGCCCCGCGCGCUCGGUCACUGACAGUGGGCCCCACGCCGUCUCCUACCUCCAACUGCCGUCCGGAGUCCACGCCGAGCACGUCCCCGCGAACCGACAGCGCACCAGCUCCGAUUUCUCCGCAUUUGGGCCACCUCUUCCAAAUCCCCGCGCGUCAUCUCGAGCCCCGUGCCCGACCGUCGGCAGCCGCCCGUCGCUCGUCCCCGAGCCCCGAGCCGCCGCCAUCCAUCCGUCUCCGCCAGAGCCGAGCCGCACCGCCCGUCCGCCGCCUUCGCCUCCGCCCGAGCCCCGACCGCGCCGCCACCCGCUGCCGCUGCCGCCGUCUUCUCCGAGUCCGGCCCCCCACGCCGCCAGGGUAAACCCUAGCCCAAACCGGACCAAUCCUGGGACGCCACGUGGCGAAUCUUUUUAAUUUAAUUUUCGUCCAAAAUUAAAACUGCACAUUUGCAGAAAAGCACCUGUAACUUUAAAGCAUCGUAACUUUUAAACCGCUUGUCCAAAAAUUAUGAUCCACACCUUUCUGGAAUCCUCACAACUUGUAGAAUUUUUUGGCACUGUCCAAUUUCAAUUUUGAACAACUUUGUCAGAAGCAAAUUACAGAAUGAUUGAAUAUGGUUUAAAUUUUGAAUGAAUUAUUUCAAAGUGGUUUUGAGCAUGUUAGCUUGCUGUAAAAUUAUUUAAACUUGUUUUUGUCCAUUAGGACCAGAAGAGAAAAUUAUUUUGUGAAUGACAUGACACUACGAGUUUAAAUAUUGCUCUAUGUUUGCAAAAACAAUAUAAUCUUUAAAUUUAAAUCCUAUCCUUGUUUCAUGCAUAUUAAUUACCUCUUUGAUGUUGUAUACUCUGUCCAAAUCAUUUGAAAAACUUUUCAAAACAGAAACAAAACUUGUUACAUUUAAAGGUAACCUAUGUGUGCAUCAUCAUGGCAUAUGCAUCAUAGCAUGAUUUUGUAUUGAAUGUUGUGUUUAUUGUGUGUAUGCUUUCUUUUAUUUUAGAUUGUGUGGAUUGUGAACCUUGUUGUUGCGAAGAGUGCGAGAACUACCACAACCUUGGACAAGGCAAGUUCACUUUGAUCAUUUCCCAAUUAUUGUACUAUGCACUAGUUAUUUUAUUAGAUGCAUCAGGAAUAUUACUCGUACCUCUAUGCUAGCUAUAAAUCUCAGGUAGUAUAGUUUUACCCUUGCCAUUACCAUGCUACCAAAAUUGCCAUCGAUUGUAGUUGAAUGCUAGGCUAUGGUAGUAUCGCAGGGGAAAUAACUACAUUAUGAUAUUGUUAUGCCUUUGGCGAUAUGAAAUGUUUUGUUAGAUUAAGGCAAAACAAUUAAUUCAAUGAACCGUCCUGGGUGGGCUGCUUUGAGCAUUUUGAGGAUUAGCGGCGUCAGGUCCAUUUCUAUGGGUCCCUCUGAGUCGAGUUCCCGUGGAUUCGGGAAUGGAUCGUCCAUGGACGUCUCUCCCGUGGAUUCGGGGAGCGCCUACGUUGCAAAUGUGGAAUGCCAACUGGGGUAACCGAGACUGGACUAGUUUCCUAUUUAGUAGCUUCCAAUACAACCACAAUGCUAUAUGGGCUCUGGCGAGACAAGAGUAUGUUCUAUGAACCUAGACCCGAGGAAUUGUACUGAGGUAGCCGUGUAGGGGGAGCGUGAUUCUCUCGUGGUUUAGGGAAUUACCUCUGAAAAUCUCGUAAUCGAUGCCGUUGCUACUCUACCCUGAGGACAGCAAGGGAUUAACCCGUCGGUUUCUUGUGGAGAAUGUGUACAAACUCUCGAGAGCAUCAAAACUAAGUACUUAGCCCGUGUCCCCGGCAAUGGACAAUUUGAUCAACUAGAUGUGGAGCUGUAAGGAAAGUCUCACUCAUUCUAAUUUCUUAAUAAAAUGAAUGGUUUGAAUUUGGGUUUAGAGCAUUGAUGUGUCUACUCAAUGUCCUUAGUUUAAUAGGAGCAUGGGUGGGUCUACCCCAUGUCCAAUAGUGAUAAAAUCUAUUUGUUUAAAAGAUAGGAUUAAAUAACUAAGCUUUUAUGCAAAUAGUCUUGAACCCCACCUUGCCACAUUAUGCAUAUACUUGGUAGGUUCUGAUAUAAUUCCUGGUGAAUCUUGCAAAUACAUUCAAUGUAUUGACCCUACUGGCUGCAUUGUUUAAUGAUGCAGGAAGCUCCGACGAAGAGUAAGAUGUGCGUUCUGCUUGUUUGGGUUACGGGCCUACGUUCCAACACGCUCUCACCGUGGUGUUGAUGUGCCCUUGUAUCUUUCGCUUUCCGUUGCUAAACAGUUGUUUUAUUUCCAGCUAACCCGUGGGGUUAUGCGUGUUGUAAUUACUUUAAAAUUCUGGAUGAUACGUUGUAAUAUUGAGACCUUUGUUCUAUGAUAUUACAUCUUGAAACUGUGUGUGCUAGUGAGUCGAUCCAGGGACUCGCACUAAAGCACAGAGAUCGAACCCGUGUACGGGGGCGGUCGCUUCAGAUGGUAUCAGAGUAUUGUGUUGCCUGUAGGAACGUGACCCUAGUGUUGGAUAAGACCUAAGGACUUAUUUGCAAAACUAGAUAUCUAUGAAACCUCUCAUAUUCUCAACUCAUCUACUCUUCCAUGAUCUUAUCUCCAUUUUGAAAGUUUUGAAACAUUCUUCUCCUUUUCAAAAGUAUUAGAGUUACCGUAGAGGAUGAAGAAGGAGAAGUUGAGAAUCGAGAUUGCGACAAGGGUUCGUGAAGAUUUCAACUAAUGAAGUUAUGAAGAACUACAAGAUUUGAAGGUGACCUUGAUAGGAUAAUAACCCAUUGGUACGUACUUACUCAUGGUAGACGUAAUAUGUGAGCUGUCACUUUUGGUUUUAUUGAUGGCCAGAAAUAAUAGUAGUAAAUUAUUUUAGAUAACAAAACUUUGUCCGUUUCCUUUUUGAACUUCUUUCUUGGGCUUGGAUGCCUGAACCAAAUUAUUUGCUUGUUGGAUCUUACUUGUUUGGUGAUUGCUAUGCCUUGCUUGCUUGUUGUUGGGUUAAGGUUCUUUUAGACCCAUCUAUCUAUUCUUCAUCUAUGCUGUCCCAAAACAGAUGCUGCCGAGAUGCGAUACUCGCCGCGAUGCCGACAACACUCAGGAGGGAUAGGACAACAACGCUGCCACCAUACAGCAACUGUUGACGGCACAGGCUCAGAUUCAGCAAGCCUUAACCCAGCAGAUGAAUAACAACCCAAACAACAACAACAACAACCAAAACAACCAGCACCCCAACCCACCACCUCAAGUGAAUAUGUUCACCAGAUUUCUGAGGUUGCGUCCACCUACUUUCACUAACUCCUCGGAACCAAUUGUGGCCGAUGAUUGGCAAAUGCUUAGUGACUGUGGGCUGCACUGAAGCUGACAAGGUGAGGUUUGCUGCUCACCUACUUGAAGGACCUGCCGCAGCUUGGUGGGAGACCUAUCAGAUUACCACUCCCAUGGAAGAAGUAACAUGGGAAAUGUUACAAGAUGCAUUCCGCACCGCCCACAUCUUUGCGGGCGUGCUGAGCUUGAAGAAGAGAGAAUUCCACAAACUGAGGCAAGGGAACAGGACCGUGUCAGAAUAUAUCGAGGCUUUCAAAGAGUUGUCUCGCUAUGCCUCGGAGGAUGUCAACACUGAUGCAAAACGCCGGGAAAGGUUUUUGGAUGGCUUGAAUGACGAACUCGCCGUUCAGCUGGCAGUUGUUUACAUCCCUACCUUCCAGUCCCUCAUGGACAAAGCCAUCAUUCUUGAAAACAAGCAGAAUCAGAUGGAAAACCGGAGGAAGAGGCCUCACCAUGGCAACAACCACGCUGGUCCACACCAGAAGCCGCGCACCUCGUACGAGGGUAGUGGCAGCUCCUCGAUGGUUAAGCAUAGUGGAAAUCAUCAGCAUCACCAUGGAGGGAGUGGACACCGUCACCGCCAUGGAGGUCAAGGACACCACCACCACCAGGGAGGUAAUGGCAGCCGGAACCACCAACACCAGCAUCCAAGGAUCAAUAACAACAAGGGCAGUGGCCAUAACAAUACAGGCAACCCAGGGCAGAACCGUACCACUGGCAGAGAUCUGAGCCAAGUGCAAUGCUUUAAGUGCCACAAGAUGGGGCACUACUCCAAUGAUGGUCCUGAGAAGUUCAAUGAGGCGGGAGCAAAGCCUAACCCGUUCCAGAAGGGCAAUGUGAACCACGUCAACGUGGAGGAAAUCACAGAGGAGCAAGGUAUCGUAAUCGGCACCUUCCGCCUAAAUUCUUUUGAAGCACUGGUACUAUUUGAUACCGGUGCAUCGCAUUCUUUCUUCUCAAGGAAUUUUGUGCAUAAGAAUGGGUUACCCACUAGUACCUUAGUGAACCCUAUGAAGGUGAAAUCACCUGGGGGAGAGAUGAUAACGGCUUAUGAAUGCCGAAUGCUGACACUAGAAAUUGGAGAACACAACUUCCCCACAGACCUGAUAGUGUUAGGAUCAAAAGGCUUCCAGUACAACCACAAUGCUAUAUGGGCUCUGGCGAGACAAGAGUAUGUUGUAUGAACCUAGACCCGAGGAAUUGUACUGAGGUAGCCGUGUAGGGGGAGCAUGAUUCUCUCGUGGUUUAGGAAAUUACCUCUGAAAAUCUCGUAAUCGAUGCCGUUGCUACUCUACCCUGAGGACAGCAAGGGAUUAACCCGUCGGUUUCUUGUGGAGAAUGUGUACAAACUCUCGAGAGCAUCAAAACUAAGUACUUAGCCCGUGUUCCCGGCAAUGGACAAUUUGAUCAACUAGAUGUGGAGCUGUAAGGAAAGUCUCACUCAUUCUAAUUUCUUAAUAAAAUGAAUGGUUUGAAUUUGGGUUUAGAGCAUUGAUGUGUCUACUCAAUGUCCUUAGUUUAAUAGGAGCAUGGGUGGGUCUACCCCAUGUCCAAUAGUGAUAAAAUCUAUUUGUUUAAAAGAUAGGAUUAAAUAACUAAGCUUUUAUGCAAAUAGUCUUGAACCCCACCUUGCCACAUUAUGCACAUACUUGGUAGGUUCUGAUAUAAUUCCUGGUGAAUCUUGCAAAUACAUUCAAUGUAUUGACCCUACUGGCUGCAUUGUUUAAUGAUGCAGGAAGCUCCGACGAAGAGUAAGAUGUGCGUUCUGCUUGUUUGGGUUACGGGCCUACGUUCCAACACGCUCUCACCGUGGUGUUGAUGUGCCCUUGUAUCUUUCGCUUUCCGUUGCUAAACAGUUGUUUUAUUUCCAGCUAACCCGUGGGGUUAUGCGUGUUGUAAUUACUUUAAAAUUCUGGAUGAUACGUUGUAAUAUUGAGACCUUUGUUCUAUGAUAUUACAUCUUGAAACUGUGUGUGCUAGUGAGUCGAUCCAGGGACUCGCACUAAAGCACAGAGAUCGAACCCGUGUACGGGGGCGGUCGCUUCACUUAAUGCAUCGGCUACCACAUUGGCCUUGCCCGAAUGUUAUUGCAAAUUCAGAUUAUAAUCGUUAAUCAGCUCCAACCAUCUUCUCUGUCUGAGGUUCAACUCCUUCUGGGUGAAUAUGUAUUUCAGGCUCUUGUGAUCCAUAAACAAUUCACAAUGUUUCCCCAUCAGGUAGUGUCUCCAAGUCUUCAAGGCGUGCACUACCGAUGCUAAUUCCAAGUCAUGAGUGGGGUAGUUCGCCUCGUGGUUCUUUAGUUGUCGCGAAGCAUGCGCUACAACUCUUCCUCCUUGCAUCAAAACUCCUCCCAAUCCUUGACGCGAAGCGUCACAGUAAACUUGGAAAUCUUUCUACAGAUUGGGUAAAACAAGGAUGGGUGCGGACACUAGUCUUUUCUUCAACUCUUGAAAACUUUCUUCGCAUUUGUUAGUCCACACAAAUUUAUUUUCCUUCUUCAGAAGUUCUGUCAUGGGUCUUUCUAUCUUGGAAAAAUUCUCAAUGAAUCUCCUGUAGUAACCAGCAUGUCCUAGAAAGCUGCAUACAUCACCGACGUUGUUAGGUGCUUCCCAAUUUGUCACUGCUGCUACCUUAGCUGGGUCGACAGCAACUCCUGCUCCAGACACGAUGUGUCCUAGGAAACUAACUUCCGAUAACAAAAAUUCACACUUACUGAAUUUGGCGUACAACUUGCGUUCUCUAAGUUUGUCCAAAAUCAAGCAUAGAUGUUGCUCAUGUUCUUCUUUGCUCUUGGAAUAAAUCAGGAUGUCGUCGAUGAACACUAUGAAAAACUUGUCCAAAUAUUCCAUGAAUACCUUGUUCAUGAAGUAUGAUGGUGCAUUGGUCAAUCCAAAUGGCAUCAUUGUAUACUCAUACAAGCCAUACCUGGUGGUGAAGGAUGUUUUGGGUAUAUCUGCUUCUUGGAUCUUCAACUAAAAAUAUCCUGAUCGCAGAUCGAUCUUUGAGAACACAAAUGCUCCUUUCAACUGAUAAAAAAGAUCAUGAUUAUGGGUAAGGGGCACUUGUUCUUUAUCGUUAUUUCAUUCAGUGAGCGAUAAUAAAUGUACAUCCAUUGACUCUUGUUCUUCUCCACAAAUAAAAUGGGUGCUCCCAAUGGUGAUGAACUGGGGCGAAUGAAACCUUUGGACAAUUGCUCGGCCAGCUGUUUCUUCAAUUCCUUUAAUUCAUCCACGGCCAUCUUACACGGUCUCUUGGCUAUGGGUCCAAUUCCUGGCAUUAACUCAAUAAGAAAUUUCACAUCUCGAUCCGGUGGCAUUCCCGGCAACUCCUCAGGAAAGAUAUUUGGAUAUUCCUGCACUAUCGGCACAUCCUCCAUCCUAAACUCCUUAAGAGAAUUCACCUUAGAUCUCUUAAGUUCCAUAGUAGACUUGAAACGGAUUCACUUCUUCUCAGGGGUUGUGAGUGUAAUUGUUCUCUUGGCACAGUCUACCAAUCCUUCAUAUAAGGUCAUCCAGUCCAUUCCCAGAAUUAUGUCUAGCCCUCGGGAAUCUAACACAACCACGUCAGAGGUAAAAGUGUGUUUCCCAAUCUCUAAGGCUAACUGGCGGCAUCCUUGGGUCGCUACCAUUUGUCCUCCAAGUGAACUUACUCUCAUAGGAUUCCUUAGGGUGUUCGUAGGUAUCUUGUUCCCAUUCACAAACAUUCUUGAUAUGAAUAAAUGUGAUGUGCCCGUGUCAAAGAGUACGAGUGCUUGGAAGGAAUCUACGCGGAAAGUACCAAUCACAAUGCCCGGCUCCGUGAUUUCCUCUACACUGACAUGGUUUACGUGACCCUCCUGGAAUGUGGUGGGCUUGACUCCAUUCCCUUCAAAUCUCUCCGGGCAAUCAUUCGAGUAGUGCCCCAUCCUGUGGCACUUAUUCCACUUGACUCAGGUCAAUCUUGGUGAAGAUGUCAUUCUUAUUCUGUUCGUUGUUGCUUCCACUGCCCUGACCAAUGCUGCCUCAUUUGCCAUGGUCUCUACCCUCGUGCUGGUGUCGAUGCCUAUGACCAUUGCCUCCCUGAUGGUUGUUUCCAUUCUUAUGAUGGUGAUGGUGGUGACAAUUCCUUACACGGUUGUCGUGGUUCUCGUGCUUCGCAUACCUUGAGAUACCACUACCUUCACGAGAGAUGUGCGGCCUCUUGUGUGGGCACAUGUGGGUUUUCCAAUGGUUGAGCCUUCUCUUGCGGUUCUCCAUCUGGUUCUGCUUGUCCUCCAAAAUGAUGACCUUGUCUAGCAGAGACUGAUAGGUGGGGUUGUAAGCAACUGCUAGCUGAAUGGAAAGCUCGUCGUUCAGUCCAUCCAAAAACUUCUCACGACGCUUGGCAUCGGUAUUGACAUCAUCGGGCGCAUAGCGGGAUAGCCUAUUGAAUACCUCAAUAUAUUCCGACUGUCGCACCAGUGGCACCCGGGGUACCACCGCUGCGCGACGCGUGAGCCCCGUCCCCGAGUUCCCGGGAAGGUUCCAUCCAGGGCAGCGGCUACGAGCAGCCCGGCAAGUUACCAGCCCGGAAGGGCUAGCGGGGCUUCGAGAAAUAUUCCCGCUUGGGCACCUCUCGGAAAGCCGCUUCCCGGGUGCGUUGGGCCCGGGCGCUUCCCGGGGAGCGACUUGCCGGGACAGGGGGUUCCCGGGCGCAUGCCCCCGCCUCAAGGGUGGGGCCCAGUGGACAGAUCAACAGCGCCACGCGGGCGCGUGGCGGGCGUGGGGUGCGUGGCCCCACCAGGGCAAGAAGUAAGGUGCACGUCUCAUUAAAUGAGCCGACGGGAGGGGCGUUACCCGUCCAAGUCAAGUGAACAGUGGCUGUCCAAUCCUACUCUAGGGUUUUAGACCCCUAGCGGCGGAGGUGGCAUCCAUGAGCGCCACCAGCUCACCGAGGGAGAGCUGUAUACCUGUCCGCUCGACAUUUGUAGCCCAUGCACCGUCGCACCUGUGGCAUCCCCUUGAGUAUAAAAGGAGGACCCCCGCCAGCGGUAAAAGGGUUCAAGUUCUGCUCGGUUGGGGUUCCGGUGGGUUCCAGUUCCGAUCAAAGGCUCCACGUUCGCAAGUUUGGUCAGCUCUGGGUAGCAGGUAGCGUACGCAAGGGAAGAGAGAGAGAGAGCCCGGGGACCUUCCCCCAGCAAGAUGUAAACACUUGAUCUGCAAUCAAUACCAGCUCAGACAAGCAGGACGUAGGGUUUUACACCUCCGGGUGGCCCGAACCUAGGUAAAAACAUGCUUGCAUGUGUUCUUUGAUUAGCGCGCACUUCUAGUACAUCAUUUCGCCGGCCCUGCAGGGCCCAUCGGCCGAGCCGGCGAUCGCCGGGGCCAACCCCGACGCCCCUGCCGAACCUAAAAAGGGGCCGUGACCGCACGCCCCCGGUGUCGGAGCACCGUGCGACAACACCGACGCAGUGCGGGUUCCUUGCUUCAGUUUGUGGAACUCCUUCUUCUUCAGGCUUAGCACACCGCAGAGAUAUGGGCGGUGUGGAAAGCAUCCUGGAACAUCUCCCAUGUGACUCCCUCGAUCGGGUUGGUGAUCAGGUAGUUCUCCAACCAUACUGCUGCUGGUCCCUCCAACAAGUGUGCUGCAAACCUCACUUUCUUAGCAUCUAUGCAGCCCACAGUCACUAAGUUCUUGUUCACUGAACGCAGCCCGUCAUCUGCUACCAUGGGUUCGGUGGAGCUGGUGAAAGUAGCUGGAUGCAACUUUAGAAACCUUGUAAGCAUAUCCACUUGAGGUGGUGGGUUGGAGUGUUGGUUAUUCUGGUCAAUGUUUUGGUUGUUGGUUAUCUGUUGGGUUAUCUGCUGGAAAAAUUGAGUCUGAGCUGCCAACAGAGUCUGCAUGGUCACUACAUUGUUGUUCCCUUCCUCAUGGUUAUCACUGGUGUUGGUGGUGUGGCUGUUGUUGUUGUGGGUACGUCUUGGAGACAUCUGUUUAGGUUGCGUAGAUGAGAAAGUAGACAGAUGGAGUCUAAAAGAACCAUAACCCAACAGCAAGAAGUCAUAACAAUCACCAAUCAAGUAAGAUUCAACAAACAAAUAACAUAAUUCAGGCAUCCAAGCCCAAGAAAAGAAGUUCCAAAAGCUACCGAACAAAGUUUUUAUUAUCCAAAAUAAUUUACUAUUAUUAUUUAUGGCCAUCAAUAAAUCCAAAAGUGACAGCUCAUAAAUUACGUCUACCGUGACUAACUAUGAUGGUUUCAAUGUUUAAAAACCUUCAAAACUGGAUGAGAGAGUGAAAGAAGUGGAUGAGGAUAGAAUAUGAGAGUUUUCAAAAAUAUUUUAGUAUGCCAAAUAGGUACCUAAUAAGGUAAUUCCAAUCUAAGGGUCACGAACCUACAAGCAACACAAUUCUCUGAUACCAUCUGAAGCGAUCGCGCCCAUAUAGGGUUCGAUCUCUGUGCUUAUAGUGCUAGUCCCUGGAUCGACUCGCUAGCACACAGUUUCAAGAUGUAAUAUCAAGAUACAAAGGUCAAAAGUAUAUUACAUCACAUUGAUCCAGAAUUUAAUAGUACCUUACAUAUUGCAUAACCUCAUGGGUUAGCUCAAAAGAAAAUAAAAUCUUGCAGCGGAAGGCAGAAGAUACAGGAGUCCCGUAACAACUCCACAGUCGAAACUUUACCCACAAGAAAUCGACAUGUUAAUCUAUUGCUGUCCUCAGGGUAGAGUAGCAACGGCAUCGAUUACAAGAUUUUCAGAAGUAAUCCCCCAGACCCAUACCGAGGGACCCGCUCCCACCUACAUGGCUACAUCAUCACAAUCACCUCGGGCCCAGGUUCAAACAGCUUACUCAAUCUUAGCAGAGCCCAUAUUACCAUGUGGUUGUACUGGAAGCUACUAAACAGGAAACUAGUCCAGUCUCUAGUUACCCCGGGUGGCAUCCCACAUUUGCGACGCAGGUGCUCCCAUAGACAUGGAGAGACGACUCAUAGACAUGGACCAGAAAUGGACCUGACGCCGUAUACAUCUCAAAAACUCAAAGCCGCCCACCCAGGAUGAUUCAUUAAAGUUGUUUUAUCCAGGUUUCCAAAAUACUCUACAAUAUCAGUUUCAUGGUAUUUGAGAUUGUGGCGACCCAGACCCGUAAGGAUCCGGAAUCUCUAUGUAUUCUGUACUAGUCCCUGGAUCAAUAGCUAGUACACACAGUCCAAGAUGAAAUACCAAAAAUACAUGUCUUUUUGUUAACGAUAAACAAUAAUCCAGAGUACAUAUUUUAUAAUACACAGCGGAAAAAUCAAAUUGAACACCAAUGAGUCCAUCAACGCCACAGGCUUGUUGAGUAUAGACCCGCGACCCUGCGUAACCUUUCUUCAUACGUCAACAUCUGCACAUGAUAGGUGCAGGUCAGUACAUUGAAUGUACUUGCAAGUACAUACCUGUGUGGUUAGGAGAAAUGCAAGUACAUGCUUAAGGAUAAGUCCUAAAGAGGCUUCUACAGUUUCUUUUGCAAAAAACCGGUUUUGGAUUUUGAAAUACUCAUAAUACUUUUUCUUUGGAAAUCUGCACCACAAGACCUAACUCUGUGAUCUGCCAUCAGUGCUUCGAUGACUCACAAAGAUUUCCCUUACUAUGCAUUCUGGGUCAAACUGACACUCACAUAGUAACCCUCUGACUCAUUCUGUGGAUACUUCUAUGGAAUAGAAACUCAUUCUGUGGAUACCAUCGAGUCAAAACAGUUUUUGAGUUUUGAAAACAAAACUUAGAAGAUCUCCACUUGACCAGACUUAGUAGCUCAAAAUUCGCCCGUAACCAGGGGUAUGGCUAAUCGAUUAGAUUGACACUCUGCAGAGGUUUGUACACUUUACCCACCAGACACAAUCAAUCCAAAGUGUUGCCUAACGACAAGCGUGCGCAACAGGUAAAGAUUGUGAGAAAGUCUUUCACUAGAAGCCCCCUAUACUUAAUCCUGGCACCGCAAGUUCUAAAAAGCACAUUGGCCCCUCUCCGGAUGACGAUACCCAAGUAAGGGUUUUCCGCUAGUUGCUCGACCAAGCCAGAGCCAUAAUGGCAGGUGGUUGUACAAGUAAGCUUUUGGGUUCCAUUGGAAAAAACUUGAACUUUUAAAUAUUGGACGGCGGUCCCCACUGAAAAUCCUGAGCAUCUGCAGAGCCGAACUGGACGCUGCCCUUGUCGACAACCAAAAAUGGUCUCAGACAUACCAGUCCGCCCAGUGGAAAACAUUUUUGGGUUUUAUUUUGAAAAUAUUUUUGCCAAAAAUAUGCCGGCUCAAACUGAGCACUUAAUACUUCGAAAUAGUUUUGGGUCCCUCUCGGUACAAUAAUGUAGCAAGCACUUUGUAAAAUCUUACAAGUAAUAGCUUAGGGUAAUUGGUGGCAUGACAAACAACCUGUAGGCGUACUACAUAGGUCAUAACUAAUAAUUUGCAAACGCGUUUUGAAAAUACUUUAUAGAGAAUAACACCUACACAUGCAUUCUUACAGUUUGUAGAACAAAGUAGCAUAUGCAAAACUAUAGGAUUCUAGAUGAUCAGAGGUGUCACUUGCCUUGGCCUGUGUUGAUACAAACUUCUUCUUCACGACACUCGGUACAAUCGCACUCCGAAUCAUCUAUCGUGAAGAACAAAUAACAACAAUAACGGCAUUGUUCGAUAAUUCCAAAUAAAUCUAAAUGAAGAACCAAAAGUGAUGACCAACGAUUAUCUUUAUUGCUAAAGCACAGGAUAGGGUCCGGAAAAGAUGGGAAUACUUUGAUAGGAAUUCUGACUAAAGAAUUAUACUAUGCCCUUAAUAUCCCACAUGUUUUAUUUAUGAAAACAUGAACAAUGCACAUCUCAUGAUUCAACUAAAUUAUGGCAAGAUAUGCAACAAUAUGACAAAGCUAUCGUGCAAACUAUGCAUAUUAGGCGAACAUGAUAGAUAAUAAAAAAAAGCAUCAAGUUAAUUGGUUUUCUAGCAUGCUAUGAUGUUGUUAUUUAGUUAAAGUAAUUAAUAUCAAUGCAUCAAAUUCAUUUAUGCAAUGCAAACACAACUAUACAUUUAAUUUAUCAAUGCAAAUUGAUUAAGCUUUAUGAGAGUUAAUUUUAGUAGUUGUUGCUUAUUAACAUGCAAAGGCUAGUUAUGACAUAAACCUCAUGAUGCAAUUUAUAGGUAUGAAAAUAGAUUUGCACAAACUACUUUAGUGAUACCCAGACCUAGAAAAGAUAGAUAAAGAACCUAGACAAGAUUAGAAAAGAAUAUCUCUAAGUUGUUUGGGACAAAAUAGAGAAAGGAAAACUAAUCUAAAUGAGUUGAAGACAAGGACAUGUUUGAUCAGAUCACAACCUGUGAUAGAUGCAAAGGAAACUCGGAUUACAAAUAAGAAACUUGGAUUAGAAAUCAAUACAAAAGGCUAGGAUUGAAUUGGAGUUGAAACAGUGAAGUUCUGGCUGUUAACAGAUACAAACUAAUAUGGAUCAUGGGAUACUGUAGAUGAACAUGAAAAGGUGCACAAAGGGGUUCAGAAUAUGGGGUUUGAUGUAUUAUUGUCAAGACAAAAAGAAUCAUCUAAUUUGAAGCAAUGGAUCAAAAGAUAGGGACUUCGGAAUACAGCUAAUCAAGGUUUCAACACAGAUAGCAUGUAAUAGUGUUAACAGAUAGCAACUUCGGUUGACGAUGCACUAGUUUAGAUGAUACAGAACUUGUGUAAGAAGUUCACUGAUGUGUAGAACAAGAUGUAGUAGAUAAUCUGCCGAAGGUUUGAGACCAAAGGGAUGCUGUGGAUAGCAACUUUAGAUAAAGAUUAACUACUUAAGAUAAUCCAGACGGGGAAUGCAAACUGAUCUAAUCUGUAGAGCACGACGUGGUCUAAGCAUAGCAGAAAGAAUCGGCUAAAUAGGAUGUACAGUUGACAAUCUACAAGCUACCGAAGUGGCUAAUCAAAACAGACUGCAGCUCGAAAACAGAGCAAGAAAGCUCACCGGAGAAGAUGAAGUUCGCCGGAGUUGAUGGGAUUCGGCGAAAAAGAGGUUUACGAAGGCGAGGCCAUGGUGAAUGGUGUUCUAGGGUUCGAGAGGGAUCUAGUGGUGGUGAUGGCUCGGGCUAAUUUGGGGCGAGGUGGUAGGAAUUGCUCGCCUGAGUUCGCAUGGAAACAGCGACGAAAAUCUCGAAAUUGGAUGCGGGAUUGACAACGGCUUCGAGCUAGCUUUUGAGGGAUAGGUUGGGGCUCUCGAGGGCGUCAGGUUGGAGGCCUUUAUGGGACGCGGGGCGCUCGGGAUAAGGCCGGCGGCAGGUGAGAUUUGAACGGGAUCGGUUUCGCUUAAAAUUCGGACGAGAUAGAGUCCGGGAUGGUUUGAUUCUUGUUGGGAUGGAUUCCUUGCCAUGUGGGUCAUAAAAAGAGCAUAAAACGCGGAGAAAAACGGUUCGGAUUUUGGAAUUCGAGUUGGAGGCGGCCAUGGAACCCUGCUCGUCCUCGCGCUCGAGCUUGGGCUCAGCUGUGGCGCUGCGCGGGCAGGGGCAAGGGCAGGGAUGGCGGCGACCGGCAGAGAAGAGCGGAGGCGGCCAGGGACGAGCUGCAGCGGGGGCCAAGCGGCCAUGGCUCUCGGCCAGGAGGGGCACGGGCAGAGAACUCCCGUGCUGUGUGCCUGUGUACGUGAGGAAGAAGAAAGGAAGGAGAGAAAUAGAAAAGGAGAAAAAGAAAAGAAAAGAAAAGAGAAAGAGAGAUGGGCCGUUGGAUGAGAGAUGGAUGGACGAGAUUAGAAGAUACCCCUUCGGUACACUUAAGUGGAAACGGGUUUCACGGGAAUACAUGCAGAGAAAACGUACUCCACGGAAGAAAAAGAAAAACAAAUAAAGAAAUACCUUUUCUGGGUUUCUAAAUCGCCAGAAAAUCAAAUAAGGCAAAUAAAAUACCAAACGGCAUCGGAAAAAUUCAAGAAAAUUCCUGAAAUUCCAAAUACCUAUUUGGAAGCUAGGAAAUAUAGUUUCCUCAUGGAAUAUAAUUUAUAAAAAUAUUUUUAAUGCAUAUGCAGCUCAAAUAAAUUCCAACAAAUGCAUAUAAUCAAUUUGAAGGUCCAAAUAAACUCCCAAUUAAAUUGUAAGAUAAUCUCCAAACUCAAAUAUUGUCAAAAUGAUAUGCAUAUGACAUGAAAAAGGUAACAACAUCCAAAUUAGAAAAAUUGGGAUGUUACAGAGAUUCCCUCCCACAUAUACUAACAUAGCAUAGCAUUCAACUACCUACGAUGGCAAUUGGUGGUUACGUAAUGGCAGGGGUAAUCUAUACUAUUAGGACUUCAUAGCUAGCAUAGAUACAAUAAUAGUCCUAUCAAUGCAACUAAUAAAACAUCUAGUGCAUAAUAAAAUAAUAGGUGAAUGAUCAAAGUGAACUUGCCUUCUUCACCGGAGUAUGGGUUACAAUCGUCACACGAACAAAGAUCGCACUCCGAAAGAACUAAACAAAGCAAACAUACACACCUAUAAACACACAAUCCAAUACAAGGAAAAUUAUGGCAUGAUGCAAUGCAAACAUGUGACAUGGGUUGGUAGGUUUUAUUCAACAAGAUGUGUUCUCAGAUUAUCAUGAAUCAUGAAUCACAGAUUAAUUCUCUAGUCAAAAGUGAUUAAGCAAAAUAAGUUAUUACAAAAAAAUUAAUUAUAGGGUUCCAAAAAACAAGGGUUUAAAAGCAUGAAACAAGGUUUUAAAAGAAACCUACAAUAAAAUAAUUCAAGAUUUUAUUUCUCUGGUCCUAAUGGACAGAGGACAAAAAAAUAUAAUUUUGAGAGUUGGUUUUACAUAAAAAGGAUCAAUAAAACUUUUAAUAUGAUUUAGAUGGCAUUUAAAGCCUUUCUGUAAAUUGACCUAGUUGUUUAGAUUAUUCAAAUUUAAAUUUGGGCAGUGCCAAAAUAUUCUACCCCUCAAGAGGUUUGCAGGAAGGUGUUGUUUGUCAAAUUUGGCCAAACAGAUUAAAAGUUAUUAGUGUUUGAAGUUUCAGGGGCUUUUCUGCAAAGUUACCAUUUAAUUCGGGGGAGGGGGGGGAAUAAGUUUUAAUAAAAAUGGUGCCACGGGCGGUUUCUCAUUUGCCUGUACCGGUUCGGUUAAAGAAUAAACGAGGGCCGUCAGAGUUUAAGAUGGAUGGACGGCUCGGAUCGACUAUGGGGCUUACCAGCGGCUAGGGUUCCGGCGAAGUUCCGGCGGCGGUGGCGGCUCGGGAAAACGCCGGCGAGGUCCUCGGGCUCGGGAAAAAGCGGAGAAGACGCGGCUCGCUCCGGUGAGGCUCCUCAUGGCCAUGGUUUGCUUCGGGGGGGGGGGGGGGCUGGGAGUCGACGCCUAGGUCAACCGGGAGACAGCGGCGGUGGUGAAGCUUCGGGUCGCCACGUCCUCGGCUGCACCAAACAGGGAACAGAGCACGUCAAAACAAGCGCAAGGAAGAGCGGAAGCAGACAAGAAAGGUGGCGGCAUUGAUGACGUACAGGCUCGUCAGCGGUGAGUUUGGAACGGCGACGGCAGAGGCGACGCGACGACGAGAAAUCGAGGCAGCUUGACGGCGGGCGAGAUCGAGAGAGAGGGGAGGGGGGAAAGAGAGAGGGGGCCGCGGCCUUUAUAGCGACGUGCAAGGAAAGUGGAGGGGGGCAAGGAGGCGAUGGCACGGCGGGGACACGGGCCGGGGACGGCGCACGGGCGUCGCGCGUGUGACUGGCGCGGGCUUUCCUUCGGGAACUAAGGCCCUGACAGAUGGGUCCCACCUGUCAGUGGCAACUCGGGCGCUCGCAUGUGCAAGCGGGCGGGCUGGCUGUGCUAGUCGGUCGGUCGUGCGGGGCGCGCGGGGGUGACUGGGCCGAUUCGGCCCAUUCGCCAGGUCCGGUCCGUUUCCCCUUUUUUUUGUUCUUUUCUUUUUCUGUUUUUCCUUUAUAACUUUUGAUUUUGAACUCCAAAUCUAUCCAAAUAAAUUCCAGAAAAUUUAUAAAAUCAUAUCCUCAAAUUUAAUAGCCUCUGGGACUUGAUUUCCUACAAAAUAAAUAUUGAAAAAUACUUUUGCUUAUAAAAUUGCCUUUAGGGCUUUGUAAAUAAUAAAACAAAAUAGUUUUUCUACUCCAAUUUAAAUACUAAAAAUUAUGGGGUAGCUCAUUUAUGCAAUAAACCCCCUUUUAUGAUCAAAACCCUAUUGGGUUGAAAAUCCAAUUUGCAGAAGGGAGAUGAAAGUCAAGAUUUAAAAUAAGGUAGGCUUUUAAAAGGGAUUUAAAAUUCAAAAACAAGGUUUUGAAUGUGGAUAAAAUGCAUAGGUGGCAUGAUGCUCAUGGAUGCAAAUGCAUGAUGCAAAGUUUGAGAAAUUUUGGGAUGUUACAUCUAAAAAUGCUUGAAUAGAAAAGACUUGAGAAACUAAACAUUGAAAAACCUGACAAUUUCCUACCAGUAGAAAUUGAUGUUACCCUUGAAGAUGUCUUAGAACAACAUGAUGAGCAUGAUGCUGAUUUUAAUUCUGGAUAUGACUCCCCUCCUAGUGAUAAUGAACCUGAACAUGAGCAGGAUGAUUUUCAUGUCUCUUAUAAACUUAGGACGGAUAGAAGUCACUUGUCCAAGAGUUGUUAUAAUAAAUUUUCGGAUGCAAUACCUUUUUUGGAACCUUAGGGUCUUAAAUGACCCAGCUAAAAGUAAAAGAGUUUCUGAGCUCUUUAGAGCUCAUCAUCCUGCCAUUAUUGUUUUGUCCAAAACCAAAAAAAUGGAUGUUAGUCCAUCUUUUCUAGAUUCUUUAGUGAACUUUGGCAAUUUGAGCUGGAACCAUCUCCCAGCAGUUGGGACAGUGGGGGGGAUUCUCCAUGGCAUUGAAUUUGAUGUUUUUGAUGUCAUCACUUGGAAUGUUAGUUCCUUUUGUGAGUCUUGUGAUAUAAAAUCUAAGAAGGACAGUUUUGUCCAGAAAGUAGGGGUUGUUUAUGGCCCAGUAUAUGAUGAAUUAAAAUAGGAAUUCCUAGAUGAGCUUUCAUCUAUUUGUGGAUCCUGUAAUACCCCCAUGAUGGUGGGUGGAGAUUUCAACCUGAUUAGACAAGCUAGUGAGAAAAGUUCAAGAAACAUUAAUCAAAACUGGGCUGAUAAAUUCAAUAAUUGGGUUAAUUCUGCAGCCCUAAUGGAACACAAAAUUGCCAACAGAUUAUUUACCUUGUCUUAUAAGUAGGAAAAUCCUGUGAUGGCAGCUAUUAACAAAAUCUUUGUAUCAACUUGUUCGGAAGCCCACUUCCCUUCUUCCCUAGUAUCUGCGUUAGCAAGAAUUGGAAGUGAUCAUGUGCCUCUGUGGCUAGAGUGUGGUGGCAUUGCUACCCCUAGAGGAAAAAAAAAUUCAGAUUUGAGAAAUGGUGGCUUGAGGUUGAAGGAUGUAUUGCACUAAUUAACAAAGAUUGGUCCUUACCAUGACCCUGUCAAGAUGCCUUAGAUAUCGGGCAGUUUAAAAUCAGGAGGCUUCGGAAAUUCCUAAAAGGAUGGAGUAUCAAUAUAGAAGCAGAACAAAAGAACCUCAAAAAAUCUCUGAUUGCAGAAUAUGACUGUUUAGAUAUCAUGUCUGAAUCUCAAACAUUAUCACCAUCUUAGAGUGAAAGAAUGAAGACAAUUAGGUCUGAACUUAAUAAGAUAUGGAAAAUGGAGGAAAUUAAAGCAAGACAAACGGCUAGAGAGAGAGACAUUCUAGUAGGAGAUUAAAAUACUGCCUACUUCCAUGCUAUUGCUAACCAAAGAAGAAGGAGGAAUAAAAUUGUAUCCUUAGAAGGGCCUGAUGGUCUAGUACGUGACACUCCUUCCAUGUCCAAAUUGCAGUUUAAUUUUACAAGAAAUUGUUUGGUAAAGAAGAGAAACUAGAUAUUAACCUCGAUGAAAAUUUUUGGGAGCCUGAUGUAACAUCCCAAUUUUCAAAACUCUUCAUAUGCAUUGCAUAUCAUAAGCAUCAUGUCACCUUUGCAUUUGAUCACUUUCAAAACCCUAAAGUUUGCCCAGAAAACCCUUUUGCAAAGUUGCCUUUAUUUGAUUUUGGGCUUUGAUCUUGCUCUUGAGUAUUUGCAUUUUAACCCAUGAGGGUAUUGUGGUAAAAAGGGACUUAAUGCAUAUAUAGAGCUAUCCCAUAAGUUGGCUUUUGAAAUUAUUUUGAAAAAUAAUUUGUUUCGAUAGCCUAAAAGCCAUUUUAUAGGCAAAUGUAUUUUUAAAUAUUUUAUUUUGAGGAAAUUCUUGUUCCAAAAGUUAGAUCAUAUGAAAAUAUGAUUUUACAAAUUUUGUUGCAAUUUAUUUGGAGUGAUUUGGAGCGCCGAAUUAAUUUUGAGGUUCGAAAACAGAAAAUAAAUAAAAGAAAAGGAAAAACCGAGGAAAACUGGCCGAACCGGACCGAUCGGCUCAGCCCAGCCGAGCCGCCCGGUUCUCUCACUGACCGGUGGGACCCGCGCGUCAUCUUCUUCUCCAACUGUCUCCCGAGAAACCCAGCCACGCACCGUCCAAGUCGCACACGAUUCCGUCCAAGCGAACAUAGCUGAAGACCAGGUGGGAAUACUCCAAGGUCAACCGACGAUGAAGACAAACGAGGUGAACCGCAGGGGAGAUGUUAUCCUGAACAUGCACGUGAUCAUGGAGCAGAUUAUGUAUGAGAAGGAUCUCCUACAACUUCAGUAUGAUCAGCUCCAAGCCCAGGUCAACAAGGCCAACCCUGCACCUGCACCUGCACCAGCACAAGUUCCACCACCCCCACAGGACGAGGAGAUGGAGCCACAGGAGGAGGAACCUCAGGAUGCGCAGGAGAUGGACCCACCUGCCACUCGCACCCGUUCUAGGGCGAAGAACUCCGGGAACACCAACUUCCUUUCACUUCCGUAGUUUCAGCUUAGAGUCCGCCAGACUUUUUAUUAUACUAUAUUCGUUAUCGUGUUAGUCAUUGACCCUGCCGUCAUUGUGAUAUGGCAAUGUAGAUUCGUGUGUUUACUUGCAACUCUUUACUUAUAUUUAGGCUGUUAUGCCUUGAGAACUAUUUGUUUUGGAUGUUAAAAUCAUAGUGAAUGUUUUGCUUGCUUUAUAGUUGAUUUGUUUCAUGAUUGAAUUGUCAUGCUUGUGUUAUGCUUGUUGUUUGAACUGUUGUACUGCUUGUGUUGCGGGGCUUAGUUUUUCCCUUAGAUCUUGUCCAUCUAUUUUCUCAUCUAUGCUGUCCCAAAACAGAUGCCGCCGAGACGCGAUACUCGCCGGGAUGCCGACAACAGUGAGUAGGGUCAGGACAGCCACGCCGCCACUAUGCAGCAUCUACUGGCUGCACAGACUCAGAUUUUGCAAGCUUUGACCCAGCAGAUGAACAACCACAACAACCAGAACCCCAACCCACCACCUCAAGUGGACAUGUUAACCAGGUUUCUGAGGCUGCGUCCACCAACAUUCACCAACUCCCCGGAACCGAUUGUAGCGGAUGAUUGGCUCCGUUCUGUGAGCAAAUGCCUAGUGACAGUUGGCUGCAAUGAAGCUGACAAGGUGAGGUUUGCCGCUCACCUACUUGAAGGACCUGCCGCAGCUUGGUGGGAGACUUAUCAGAUCACUACACCCAUGGAGGAGGUCACAUGGGAAAUGUUCCAAGAUGCCUUCCGCACCGCCCACAUCUCUGCGGGCGUGCUGAGCUUGAAGAAGAGGGAAUUCCACAAACUAAGGCAAGGGAACAGGACCGUGUCAGAGUACAUUGAAGCUUUCAACAAGUUGUCACGCUAUGCCCCGGAUGAUGUCAACACUGAUGCAAAACGCCGGGAAAGGUUUUUGGAUGGCUUGAACGACGAACUCGCCGUUCAACUGGCAGUUGUUUACAUCCCUACAUAUCAGUCCCUCAUGGACAAAACCAUCAUUCUUGAAAACAAGCAGAAUCAGAUGGAAAACAGGAGGAAAAAGCCUCACCAUGGCAACAAUUACACUGGUCCACACCAGAAGCCGCGCACCUCAUACGAGGGUAGUGGCAACUCUUCGAUGGUUAAGCAUGGUGGAAAUCAUCAGAGUCACCAUGGAGGGAGUGGAUACCAUCACCGCCAUGGAAAUCAAGGACAUCACCACCACCAGGGAGGAAAUAGCAGCCGAAACCACCAGCACCAGGAUCCAAGGAUCAACAGCAACAAGGGCAGUGGCCAUAACAAUGGAGGCAACCCAGGACAGAACCGCACCACUGGCAGGGAUAUGAGCCAAGUGCAAUGCUUUAAGUGUCACAAGAUGCGGCACUACUCCAAUGAUUGUCCGGAGAAGUUCAAUGAGGCUGGAGCAAAGCCUAACCCAUUUCAGAAGGGCAAUGUGAACCACGUCAACGUGGAGGAAAUCACGGAGGAGCAAGGUAUCGUAAUCGGCACCUUCCGUCAAAAUUCUUUUGAAGCACUCGUACUGUUUGAUACCGGUGCAUCGCAUUCUUUUAUCUCAAGGAGUUUUGUGCAUGAGAAUGGAUUAACCACUAGUACCUUAGUGAACCCUAUGAAGGUGAAGUCACCUGGGGGAGAGAUGAUAACGGCUCAUGAAUGCCGAAUGCUGACAUUAGAAAUUGGAAAACACAAUUUCCCCACAGACCUGAUAGUGGUAGGAUCAAAAGGUUUGGAUGUGAUCCUAGGAAUGGAUUGGUUAGCCAAGUAUGAAGGACUUAUAGAUUGUGUCAAGAGGACAAUCACACUCACAACCCCAGAGAAGAAGCGAAUCCGCUUCAAGUCAACCUAUGAGCUUAAAUUACCCAAGGUAAAUUCUCUUAAGGGGGUUAGCCUAGAGGAUGUACCGAUAGUGAAGGAAUAUCCAGAUGUGUUUCCAGAGGAAUUACCAGGCAUGCCACCAGACCGAGAUGUGGAAUUUCUUAUUAAAUUAUUGCCAGGAAGUGGACCUAUAGCCAAGAGACCGUAUAAGAUGGCUGUAGAUGAAUUAAAAGAGCUGAAGAAGCAAUUGGCAGAACAGUUGCCAAGGGAUUUAUUCGCCCUAGCUCAUCACCAUGGGGAGCACCUGUCCUAUUUGUGGAAAAGAAAGACAAGAGCCAAAGGAUGUGCAUAUACUAUCGUUCACUAAAUGAGGUGACGAUAAAGAACAAGUACCCACUACCCAUAAUCAAUGAUCUAUUCGAUCAAUUGAAAGGAGCCUGUGUUUUUUCAAAGAUCGAUCUUCGAUCAGGUUAUUUUCAGUUAAAGAUCCGAAAAAUGGAUAUACCCAAGACAACAUUUACCACUAGGUAUGGCCUGUAUGAGUACACAGUGAUGCCUUUUGGAUUAACCAAUGCCCCGGCAUACUUCAUGAAUAUGAUGAACAAGGUAUUCAUGGAAUAUUUGGAUAGGUUUGUCGUAGUAUUCAUCGACGACAUUUUGAUCUACUCGAAAAGCAAAGAAGAACAUGAAGAACAUUUGCGUCUAAUCAUGGAAAAGCUUAGAGAGCACAAGCUUUAUGCAAAAUUCAGCAAGUGUGAAUUUUGGUUGUCCGAAGUUGGUUUCUUGGGACGCAUUGUGUCAGGAAAUGGAAUUGCCGUCGACCCCGCUAAAGUAGCGGCCGUGACUGAAUGGGAAGUCUCUAAGAACGUCGGGGAUGUUCGCAGCUUCCUAGAACUUGCUGGAUAUUACAGGAGGUUCAUAGAGAGUUUCUCCAAGAUUGCCAAACCUAUGACUGAGCUUUUGAAGAAAGAAAAGAAGUUUGAAUGGACUGAUAAGUGUGAAGAAAGUUUCCAGGAUUUGAAGAAGAGGCUAGUAUCAGCACCCAUCCUUGUUUUGCCCGACUUACUGGAAGAUUUCCAAGUGUACUGUGACGCUUCGCGUCUAGGAUUGGGAUGUGUUUUGAUGCAGGGAGGAAGAGUCGUAGCAUACGCCUCAAGACAAUUUAAGAAUCAUGAAAGAAAUUACCCCACUCAUGAUUUGGAACUAGCAUCGGUAGUGCACGCACUCAAGACUUGGAGGCACUAUCUCAUGGGAAAGCAAUGUGAGUUAUUCACUGAUCAUAAGAGCUUGAAGUAUAUAUUCACGCAGAAAGAAUUGAACUUGAGACAAAGAAGAUGGUUAGAGUUAAUCAAGGAUUAUAAUCUGAAUCUUCAAUACCAUCCAGGCAAGGCUAACGUAGUGGCUGACGCUCUGAGCCGCAAGGGCUAUGUUAAUGGACUUACAGCUGGAGAAUUACCUGCUGAAUUGUGUGAGCAGUUCAAGGAUCUUAGAUUGGAGAUAGUUCCGGAAGGUUACAUAGCCAACAUGGAGGUACAACCUACUCUACUGGACAGAAUUAGAGAAGCCCAGAAAGAAGACUCAGAAAUUAGAACGAUAAAGGAUAAUAUGGCUAUUGAAAAGGCAAAAGGAUUCGUUGAAGACGAUAAGGUACCAUAUGGUUUGAGAAGCGUAUUUGUGUACCACAAGAUUCCGAGAUCAGAAAGCUAAUACUACAAGAAGCUCAUGAUUCACCGUACUCAAUCCACCCCGGUAAUACAAAGAUGUACAUGGACUUGAAAGAAAAGUUUUGGUGGACAGGAUUGAAGCGAGACAUUGCUGAGUAUAUCGCUCUGUGUGAUGUUUAUAGCAGAGUCAAGGCUGAACAUCAGAAACCAGCUGGAUUACUACGACCAUUGCCAGUGCCAAACUGGAAAUGGGAUAAAGUAGGCAUGGACUUCAUCACCAGCUUGCCAAGGACAAGAUCGGGUUAUGAUUCCAUAUGGGUAGUAGUUGACCGUUUGACCAAAGUUGCCCAUUUCAUACCAGUGAAGACUACUUAUACAAGUGCACAGUUGGCCAAACGAUACAUGUCUAGGAUCGUAUGCCUACAUGGAGUUCCUAAAGAGAUCGUUUCAGACAGAGGUACCCAAUUUACCUCAAGAUUUUGGGGGCAAUUGCACGAGUCUCUAGGCACGAGACUAGAGUUUAGCACAGCGUUUCACCCAUAGACAGAUGGACAAACAGAAAGAGUGAACCAAAUUCUAGAAGAUAUGUUAAGAGCUUGCGCUCUGGACUAUGGUUCUAGCUGGGAUGAGAAUCUACCAUAUGCAGAGUUCUCAUACAACAACAGUUUUCAAGCGAGUAUUGGAAUGGCACCAUUCGAAGCUUUGUAUGGCAAGAAGUGCAGGACACCUUUGCUAUGGGAUGGUGUAGGAGACCGCAGUCUAUUCGGACCCGACAUGAUAAAGGAUGCUGAAGAGAAGGUCAGGCUGAUUCGAGACAGGCUCAAGAUAGCUCAAUCCAGGCAAAAGUGUUAUGCAGAUUCCAAACGAAGGGAGAUCAUCAAUGAGAUUGGUGACAGAGCGUAUCUCAGAGUUUCCCCGAGACGCGGAGUUAAAAGAUUUGGGAUUAAAGGAAAAUUAGCGCCACGCUAUAUUGGACCCUACAAGGUUCUAGCACGCCAAGGAGAGGUAGCUUACAAGUUGGAGUUACCUGAAAAGUUGACAAGUGUCCACGAUGUUUUCCACGUGUCACAGUUAAAGAAGUGCCACCCAGAAAUGGCCGAUACGCCACUAAGGGAUACAGUUUCACUUGACGAAGUGGAGAUUCAAAGCGAUCUCACAUACGAAGAGAAACCAACCAGGAUCUUGGAAACAGCGGAAAGACAUACCCGUUCCAAGACAAUCAAGUUCUGCAAGGUUCAAUGGAAUCACCACACCGAAGAAGAAGCAGAGGAUGAUCUUCGAGAAGACCGCCCACACCUUUUUGCUAACCAACAGGAAUCUCGAGGACGAGAUUCAUCUUAAGGGGGUUAGUUCUGUAACAUCCCAAUUUUCAAAACUCUUCAUAUGCAUUGCAUAUCAUAAGCAUCAUGUCACCUUUGUAUUUGAUCACUUUCAAAACCCUAAAGUUUGCCUAGAAAACCCUUUUGCAAAGAUGCCUUUAUUUGAUUUUGGGCUUUGAUCUUGCUCUUGAGUAUUUGCAUUUUAACCCAUGAGGGUACUGUGGUAGAAAGGGCCUUAAUGCAUAUAUAGAGCUAUCCCAUAAGUUGGCUUUUGAAAUUAUUUUGAAAAAUAAUUUGUUUCGAUAGCCUAAAAGCCAUUUUAUAGGCAAAUGUAUUUUUAAAUAUUUUAUUUUGAGGAAAUUCUUGUUCCAAAAGUUAGAUCAUAUGAAAAUAUGAUUUAAAUUUUUUUUUUGCAAUUUAUUUGGAGUGAUUUGAAGCUCCAAAUCAAUUUUGAGGUUCAAAAACAGAAAGUAGAUAAAAGAAAAGGAAAAACCGAGGAAAACCGGCCGAACCGGACUGGACCGACCGCCCGUUCCCCCAAACCGCUCGCCCAAUUUCGCUUCGGUUAGGAUUUAAUUUCAACCCGAAGUUCUUCACGAACGUCGCCGUUCUUCGCGUUUUGCCGUCGUUUCGGUGAGCUUCCGCCCGCGCCAACCCUCUCUCCUUCUUCCUCUCUCCAGCGCGAAUGCCGUGACGCGCUCGCUUUUGAGUUUAGCCGCCGCCGCCGCCCCCACCCGCACAGCCGCCUCCGCGCCGCCGCCCCGCCCGCGCCGCUCCGCCUCCGGCCGCCCGCCGCCGUCCGGCGAGCUAACCCUGCCGGCCAAAACCCUAGGUGCCGGCCAAUCGCAUGCUGCAACGUGGCAUAGAUUUUGUUUUAUUUUUAAUUCGGCCGAAUUAGAUAAUGCAUUUUUGCAGAAAAUCCCCUGUAACGUCAAAGCCCCAUAUCUUUCAAACCGUUUGUCCAAAAAUUGUGAUCCACACCUUUUUGGAAUCGCCACAACGUGUAGAAUAUUUUGGCACUGUUUAAAUUUAAUUUUGAACAACUUAGACAGUAGCUAUUUACAGAAUGGUGGUUUAUGGUUUAAAUUUCAAAUGAAUUGUUUCAAAAUAGUUUUGAGCAUGUUAUCUUGCUGUAAAAUUAUUUAAACUUGUUCUCUGUCCAUUGGGACCAGGAAAGAAAUUAUUUUGUGAAUAAUCAUGGCAUACAAGUUUAAAUAUUGCUCUAUGUGGCAAAAGCCGCACAACCUUUUGUUUUAAACCCUAUCCAGGUAUCAUGCAUAGUAAUUACCUCUUUGAUGUUGUAUAAUCUGUCCAAAUCAUUUGAAAAACUUUUCAAAACAGAAAAGAAACUUUGUACUUAGAAGUAACCUUGUGUGCAUCAUCAUGGCAUAUGCAUCAUGGCAUGAUUUUGUAUUGAGUGUUGUGUUUAUUGUGUGUGUUCCUUUUAUUUUAGAUUGUGUGGAGUGUAAUCAUUGUUGUUGCGAAGAGUGCGAGAACUACCACAACCUGGACAAGGCAAGUUCACUUUGAUCAUUCUCCUAAAUAUUUUUCUAUGCACUAGAUGUUUUAUUAGAUGCAUCAGGAAUAUUACUCGUACUUCUAUGCUAGCUAUAAAUCCCAGGUAGUCUAGUUUACCCUCGCCAUUACCUUGCUACCAAAAUUGCCAUCGAUUGUAGUUGAAUGCUAGGCUAUGGUAGUAUCGUGGGGGAAAUAACUACAUUAUGAUAUUGUUAUGCCUUUGGCGAUAUGAAAUGUUUUGUUAGAAGUAAGGCAAAACAAUUAAUUCAAUGAACCGUCUUGGGUGGGCUGCUUUGAAGAUUUUGAGGAUUAGUGGCGUCACAUCCAUUUCUAUGGGUCCCUUUGAGUCGAGUUCCUGUGGAUUCAGGAAUGGAUCGUCCAUGGACGUCUCUCCCGUGAAUUCGGAGAGCGCCUACGUUGCAAAUGUGGAAUGCCACCUGGGGUAACCGAGACUGGACUAGUUUCCUAUUUAGAAGCUUCUAGUACAACCACAAUGCUAUAUGGGCUCUGGCGAGACAAGAGUAAGUUGUAUGAACCUAAACCCGAAGAAUUGUAUUGAGGUAGCCGUGUAGGGGGAGCGUGAUUCUCUCGUGGUUUAGGGAAUUAUCUCUGAAAAUCUCGUAAUCGAUGCCGUUGCUACUCUACCCUAAGGACAACAAGGGAUUAACACGUCGGUUUCUUGUGGGGAAUGUGUACAAACUCUCGAGAGCGUGAAAACUAAGUACUUAGCCGUGUCCCCGGCAACGGACAAUUUGAGCGACUAGAUGUGGAGCUGUAAGGAAAGUCUCACUCAUUCCAAUUUCUUAAGUAAAAUGAAUGGUUGAACAGGGUAGGAGCACUUGAUGAAUCCACUUCAAUGUGCUCUAGGAUAAUAGGAGCAUGGGUGUGUCUACCCCGUGUCCAAUAGUGAUAAAAUUCUAUUUGAUUAAAAGAUAGGAUUCAAUAACUAAGCUUUUAUGCAAAUAGCUUGAACCCCACUUUGCCACAUUAUGCAUAUAUUUGGUAGGCUCUGGUAUAACUCCUAGUGAAUCUUGCCAAUACAUUCAAUGUAUUGACCCUAGUGGCUGCAUCGUUUAAUGAUGCAGGAAGCUCUGACGACAAGUAAGAUGUACGUCCUGCACAUGGAGGAGGGUUGAUGGGUCACUUCGGCGUGAAGAAGACCGAAGAUGUGCUCGCUAAUCAUUUCUUUUGGCCUCGGAUGAGACGGGAUGUUGAGAGAUUUAUCGCUCGCUGCACUACAUGUCAAAAAGCUAAGUCACGACUCAAUCCUCAUGGUUUAUAUAUGCCUCUCCCUGUUCCUAAUGUUCCUUGGGAAGAUAUAUCAAUGGAUUUUGUUUUGGGAUUGCCUCGAACUAAGAAGGGGAGGGAUAGCAUAUUUGUUGUUGUUGAUAGAUUUUCUAAGAUGGCACAUUUUAUACCUUGUCAUAAGAGCGAUGAUGCUACCAAUGUUGCUGAUUUAUUCUUUCGUGAAAUUGUUCGCUUGCAUGGUGUGCCCAAUACUAUAGUUUUAGAUCGUGACACAAAAUUUCUUAGCCACUUUUGGAGAUGUUUAUGGGCUAAGUUGGGGACUAAAUUGCUUUUUAGUACUACAUGUCAUCCCCAAACAGAUGGACAAACUGAAGUUGUUAAUAGAACAUUACCUACUAUGCUUAGGGCUGUUUUAAAGAAAAACUUGAAAAUGUGGGAAGAAUGUUUACCUCAUAUUGAAUUUGCUUAUAAUCGUUCACUGCAUUCAAACACAAAAUUGUGCCCUUUUGAAAUUGUUUAUGGUUUUAUACCUCGUGCACCAAUUGAUUUGUUACCUUUGCUAACUUCUGAAAAAGUUAACUUUGAUGCUAAGGAACGUGCUGAACUUAUAAUAAAAAUGCAUGAGACGACUAAAGAGAACAUUGAGCGCAUGAAUUCUAAGUAUAAACUUGCGGGAGAUAGGGGCGGAAAACAAAUUGUGUUUGAACCUGGAGAUCUUGUUUGGUUGCAGUUGCGCAAAGAUCGUUUCCCUGAUUUGCGCAAGUCUAAGUUAAUGCCACGAGCUGAUGGUCCCUUUAAGGUGUUAGCAAAAAUUAAUGAUAAUGCAUAUAAACUUGAGCUACCUGCAGAUUUUGGGGUUAGUCCCACGUUUAAUAUUGCAGAUUUGAAGCCUUAUUUGGGAGAAGAAGAUGAACUACCGUCGAGGACGACUUCGAUUCAAGAAGGGGAGGAUGACGAGGACAUCCCAACUAAUGAUACAACCACAGCCCCUACAGCACCUACACCUCAAGUACCGGAGAUACAUGGACCAAUUACUAGAGCUCGUGCACGACAACUAAAUUAUCAGGUAUUUUCGUUCCUCGGUACUUCAUUUAAUAUUAAUGAGAAUAUGCUGCUACCUAAGAUGGGUUCUUUUAUGUGUUUUAGGAAUGAAGGACCUAGUUUGCACCUCAAGGAUCAGCGUUGGACAGCAAACCAUGGAGGUGGCAGCAAGGUGGCGGGAGCUAGCUCAAGUGAUGACUUCAGAACAUUAAAAUCGCCAUAACGAGAGAUGAGAAGAAGGCCGCAUCCUCUUCAUCAAUGGGAUUUCGGCCAAGUGGAGGAUUCCCCCUCCAAUGGGUAUCUAUGGGCCAAAGAUGAGGGUUAUAACCUUGCUUUAUUGGGCCUAAGGCCAUGUAAUAGGGUCCAGCCAAUUUUUAGAUGCUUUCGUUGUGUUUUAGGAGGAUUCCUAGGCCGUUUCGGAGUCCCUCAAGGGCCUGUCCGAAAACCUCCUAGUUCCCCUCCUACUUAUACCCCAUGAGCCCCCCCAUGAAGCCUUGGGUUUUGAUUAGAUAAAGUUUAGCCAUCUUUGCUACUUUCGUGUAAUCCCGUGUGUCGGUUAGACCACCUGUUUUACCGUCGUCAAGACUCCAACUUAUCGUCUCGUUGAGACAUCGGUUUGAUAUAGUAUACUUGCAAUUUGAGAUUGCAUCCGCUAUUUAUCUUGUUCUUGCUUGUUCUUCGAUUGCUUGCAGGAACAAAGACCUUCGUGGUCAGGUUGAUCGUGCCCCCGCGUGAUCAAUAACCCUCUGGAGUUGGUGUAUCGAUUGCUAAGGCGCUGCCUCCUAGGCCGUAGUCGGAUCAUCAACGUCACCCCUACCCAAAUCGAGAGUUAUCAAUCUCAUCGAAAGAUCGGGCCACCCCCACCCAUAUCAGAAACUGUGUGUGCUAGUGAGUCGAUCCAGGGACUAGCACUAAAGCACAGAGAUCGAACCCUUGUACGGGGGCGGUCGCUUCACCUGAGGACCUAGUCACAGAAGAAGAGAAUAACCUACUAGAUCAAAACGUCUCCGAAGAAGAAAUAAAAGAGGCUGUGGUGCCCCUGGCCCAGAUGGAUUCCCCUUCCUGUUUUAUCAGAAGUUUUGGGAUACCAUAAACCUGAUUUGAUUAAUCUCUUUAGAGAUUUUGAUAACAAUACAGAUGACCUAUAUAGAUUGAAUUAUGCCAUGCUGACCCUAAUUCCAAAAGAACCAGAUGCUACCUCUCUUAAGAAAUUCGGGCCCAUUGCCCUUACAAAUUGCAAUUUUUAAAUUUUUGCUAAGGCCUGCACAAUUAGACUAGGGAGUUGUGCUGAUAGACUCAUUUCCAAAAAUCAAACAACUUUCAUCAAGGGGAGAUAUAUCCUAUAUAGUGCGGUAACAGCACAUGAAAUAAUUCAUGAAGUUUAUUCCAAAAAAGAAAAAGGAAUCCUACUUAAGCUGGAUUAUGAAAAAGCAUACGACAGAGUGAAUUGGGAGUUCCUGGAACAAAUGAUAACACAGAGGGGCUUUAGCCAGAAGUGGAUCAACAAACUUCAAACACUGAUUUAUAGAAGCUCUGUAGGCAUCAGACUGAAUGACUCACAAAGUGCCUAUUUUGUCACUGGAAAAGGCUUGAGACAAGGUGACCCGUUAUCCCCCAUCUUGUUUAAUUUGGUGGCUGAUGUUUAUACCAAAAUGCUUGCUAAAGCAGCUGGGCAUUCCCUCAUCUCUGCGCUACUGUCUGAAUUUUGCCCUCGUGGUAUAAUCAGCCUGCAAUAUGUUGAUGACACUUUAAUUUUCUUACAAAACAACUUACAGAUGGCCCAAAAUCUGAAGUGGUCCCUCACCUUAUUUGAACAAAUAUCAGGAAUGAAAAUAAACUAUCAUAAAUCUGAUUUAAUACCUAUGAACCUUGAAGAAGAAGAAAUCAACUCCUUGGCUCAGAUUUUUGGCUGCAAAAAAGGAAAUCUACCUAUCACCUAUUUGGGUGUGCCUCUAACACCACAGUAAGCUUAGGAAGGAAGAUCUGCAGCCUGUAAUUGACAAAAAUCAUUAAGAGAAUAGCUGGGUGGAAGGGCAGGUCCUCUCCUACGGUGGAAGGAUCAUUUUGAUCGGGGCUUGCUUGGCAAGCAUACCAAUUUAUCUUUUUUCUAUCAUUAAAUUCCCAAGCUGGAUGUUAAAUAAAAACAUCAGAUUCAAUUAAGAGUGAGUUCACCUGUUGUUCAAGUAGCUUUGCACGUGCUCUUGUUAUUGGCCCAAGUCUAACUUCAGUGGGCUUGUCUUGUGCAGCAACAUCAUCAAUUGGAGUUGAUGAGAAAGGACUAGGGAUAUCCUCAUGAUCCUCCCCCCCCCCCCUUGAUAAGGCGUCGACCCCGACGCAGCAAGGUCUUUUCCAGCAUUGGCGUCAAAUCGGCAACGUUGAAUGUAUUACUAACGCCAAACUCAUCGGUUGGAAGUUCAAUCUUGUCUGCAUUGUCAUUAAUCUUGGCAAGCACUUUAUAUGGUCCAGCACCACGUGGCUGCAACUUGGACUUGCGACGUUCUGAAUAUCUGUCCUUGCGAAAAUGUACCCACACCAUGUCGCCGGGCUGAAACAAUACCUCCUUGCGCUUCUUGUUCACACGUUCAGCGGUGUGCUUGCCUUUCUUCUCAUUGCUUCUUUUGUCUUCUCAUGUAUCUUCCUCAAAAUCUGCCCUCUUGGAUGCCUCCAGGUAGACACGCUCUUGCAUGGGUAGAGGCAACAAAUCAAGGGGUGUAAUGGGUUUAAAACCAUAGACCACCUCGAAUGGACAGAGCUGCGUUGUUGAGUGUACCGCCCUGUUAUAUGCAAACUCCACAUGCGACAAACAAUCUUCCCACUCACGCAGAUUCUUCUUGUGAUACGGGUGCGGGUGGCCCGAUCUUUCGAUGAGAUUGGUAACUCUCGAUUUGGGUAGGAGGUGACGUUGACGAUCCGACUACGGCCUAGGAGGCAGCGCCUUAGCAAUCGAUACACCAACUCCAAAGGGUUAUUGAUCACGCGGGGGCACGAUCAACCUGACCACGAAGGUCUUUGUUCCUGCAAGCAAUCGAAGAACAAGCAAGAACAAGAUAAAUAGUGGACGCAAUCUAAAAUUGCGAGUAUACUAUAUCAAACCAAUGUCUCAACGAGAUUACACGAAGUAGUAGCAAUGGCUAACUUUUAACUAAACAAAACCCAAGGCUCCUUAGGGGGGGCUCAUGGUGUAUAUAAAGGAGGAGGGAGAGAUAUUUUCGUCCACCUUGAAUAAGGAGUCCGAAAUCCAACUCUAUCUCUAACUUUCCUAACAAACUACAACUCUUUAGGAAACAGAAAAACAGAUCCGUCAGCUUGUUUUGUCCGUCACGGUCAUCACGAGUCCAAUCUUUUGAUGGGGCCAGAUCCGUUGGAAAGGUCUUGUAAUUACCUUUCCAACAAGUACUUGUUUGCUUGAUUUGGACUCCGGAUGCGGCCUGGGUGAUUAAAACAAAUUCGGGUCUCCUGACAGCUCGGACCCGAAUCGGAUUCAACUUUAAUUCGUGAUAUCUUUCUCUAGCAAGCUCCGAAUCAUGUGCCGUUUGAUUUGUUGGAAAGUAGACUUGAUAGGCUUCACUUUGAAUCUCCCUUUGCAGGCUAUAACACUUCAUCUUCACUUUGGACUUGUAAAGUUCAAUAAGAUGCCUACAUAAUAAGAUUACACAACAUAGUAGCUCCGCCUCUUUGCAAGUAACAUAUUGAAAACAUUUUGUAAUUGAAUUCACCUGAUUAUAAUUGUUAUUAGAUACACCAACAAUUAGGGUUCUAAUGGUUGUAUCCAUGGUUAGCAUGUCCAUAUCAUCCUCCCUUUCUUGAAAGGAAAGCCGUCCUCGGCGUCGUUUGUGCUGAAAAGAGAUUGAGAAAAUAGACAAAGUGUGUGCAUGGUAUAUGUAUAUGUCAUCAAUUUUAACUCCACUCCCAUGCUGCACAUUCGAUGUUUCACAUAAAUAAAACUCAUAAUAGUUCAAAAGAUUAAUAGUCAUAUUCCAAUGGCAAGUAUCACAUUUUAAUUUGUAAUUCUCAUCAUUAAACCAUCCUAAUGGAGGUGAACAAUAAUUUAAAAUUACCAAAUGGCGAGUUACAAUAUGCGUCAAUGUGCAAUCAUGCCACAAGUUAUUUGUCAUACAACUAUCACCAAUAUUAGAGGUCAUAUCAAAAUGAUUGAGCAUAUGCCAAAUAUUGUUGUCUCUCAAAUCAAGAAAGUUAUCACAAGCAAUGCAAAUCUGAUGCACCAAAAAUUUAUUUUUGACAUCAUGUUCUCCAAUUAAUUGAAUAGCGUAUCCAUGGGCAUUAGCAAAAGAUUUUGAAAUUGUUAACUCAGAAACUUUAUCCAUUGCAUGUGACAAAUAUAUAGGUGCAUCAAGUUUAAUAAAACACAAAGAAUUAUUAGGUGGAUCGUUCUCAAUCACUCCAUGUGUAAUUAACUUGACACAACCUAAACCAAAUUUAUCUACAUCACAUGCUUCUCCCAAAACAUUAGCUAUUUCCUCACAAUAUUCAUUCUCAUCAAUAUCAAAAUUAAUAUGUGCACUCAAAUCAUUAGAAGAAUUAAUUUCAGCAGUAGGUGCACUCAAAUCAGCAUGUAAAUCAACAAUUUCACAUGGUGCAGAAAAUUCAACAUGUAUCUCAUUUAUUUCGUCACAUGUCAUAUUUAGUUCAGGAACACAAUCAUCUAUAUCUUUACCUUGUGGGCUCGACUCAUUUGUAGUAGACCCUCGCUGUAAUUUCCUCUCAACUUUACGAGCAAGAUUAAGCAAACACAAAAGAGAGUCGUAUUUUCCAUAUUCAAUCAUGUAAGAAAUAUCAAAGUUAAGCCCACAAUAAAACCUAUCCAUUUUUCUUUGUUCGGUUUCAUCUAAACCAGAUCGCAAGGUUAUAAUUUGGAACUCAUUGUAGUAAUCAUCAACAGUUUUAUCAUCUUGUGCCAAACGUCGUAAUUUUGAACGCAAGUUAAAAGCAUAACUAAAAGGGACAUAUUUUUCUCUCAUGAUUUUUCUUCAUAUCAACGCAAGUGUGGGGAAUUUUCUUUUCUCUAACUAUCUCAUUCCACCAAGAUAAAGCAGCAAAAGUAAAUUUACUACUAGCAAUUUGAACCUUGCGACUAUCAAGUACAUGGAAGCAUGUGAAUUGUGCAGUUAAAGCUAGCUCCCAAUCUAUAUACAUUUCAGCAUCAUUUUUCCCCUCAAAGAAAGGUACACACAAUUUAAUUGUAUUAGAAGGAUUGUUUUGUACCGUUGCCAUGGCAUUAUCAACAAGAGACGUGGAGGAUGGCCGUGGUGAAAAGCACUCAUCGCGGUCGCGGGAUAGCAUCGGUCUAGUUGCCAUGCUUCGUGUAAGUCCUGUCAUGGUUAGUAAAAAACAAGAAACAAAUCACAGUAAUAUGUUCCUAUCAACUACUAGGAUGUGGCUACAAGUCGCUCAACUCUCAAGCUAAAAAUCAAGUUCUUACAAGUUCUUACCAUGCAAAACAGGAAGGUGAUGGCCAGCGGCGUGACCAAGCCGUCCGAAUAUUAAAUGUAUCGAUGCCUCGGUAACAAACCAACCUAGGUGUAGAAUCUGUGGAGCUUGGAGGCUUUUGUGAGUAGCAAGGAAUAGCAAAUAAUCAAAUCAGCAAUGCAAAGUUGAAAAUAUGCUCAAUAAUGCUAGUCCUAGCUGCUGGAGUCGAUAAGAACGAAUUACAGAAGUAAUCUAAGCCUAGAUACUGAAGAAGGUAGGAUAGAAAGAUCAAAAGAUGGCACAACAAGUAAAUCCCUGGGAUUUUUUUUCUUUUUUUUUCUUUUUGUGGCCUUCUGUUUGGCUUCUUAUUCUUUUCUUCUUCUUUUUUUUUAACCCCAGAAACUCACGCAAAAGAAGGACCGGAAAACUGUACGUCGGUCUGUCGAAGAACAGCAAAGGCUGCAGUAAGAAAAAUUCAGAAAAAUAUGGAAAAAUAUGGGUUAGAAGCGUAUCGACACAAGCUUUCUAGCAAGGGCAAGAUCACUCAAAACGGAUGUCGGACAGUGGAGAAAACUAAGAAACACCGGGCUGCAGCGACGCCGCAAAACGGAUGCAGAAACUUGGAAGCUCCGAAAGUCCACCUUACAAACCGAAUUUGAGGGUCAAAGUGCAGGGAAAGCCCUGGAUUUUUCCUGAUGCGCCUCGUCGUGAGCUUUCCAAAAAGUCCAAGAACGUCCAAAUCCGAGUUAGUACGCAAAAGAUACGCCCGUUUUACUGAACACGGGUCAAACCCACCCGAAACUAAAAUUCUACUCGGACUCGGGUCCGAAACUGACUCGAACUCUUUCUCUUUUUUUUUCGUUUUUUUUUUCUUUCUUUCCUUUUUUUUUUUCUUUCCUUUCUUUUUUUUUUGACAACUUUCCGAACAACUUGAUCUCUAAACAAAAUUUGAUCUAUUAUGAAAACUUUCCAAAAGCACUCUUGAUUGGACUCGGACUCGAACUUUCGGCUGAAAACUAUAACUUGCCGACUCAAUGUAGAACUCGAUGUAGGACACGGUGUAGGACUCGACGAGGGACUCGGUGUAGGACUCGAUGAGGGACUCGGUGUAGGACUCAAAGAGGGACUCGGUGUAGGACUCGAAGAGAGACUCGGUGGAAGAUAUGGUGGCGGCGGGAGAUUAUGGCGGUGGUGUGGCAGGAAGUUUGGCGGCGGAAGAUUGAUGAAGGAAACCUGCGUCACACGAAGAACAAGAAAACCAAAAGCAAGUUCGAUCUAGUAGAAAAAAUCUGAAAAACGAUCCAAUCUAAUCCAGCAACUCGACACGAUUAAUGCAGCAAAGAUUCAACAAUGCAAAUACUAAAGUGAAAAUUGCAAGGCUCAGAUUGGUUCUAGGACAAGAUAACUAAUUCUAAUUUUUGUUUGGCUUUUUCUGGACGAUAGGUAAAAACAGAUCUAAACUAGGGAUAAACUGGAAAAAUCUCACCGAGCAACCUUAAGCUCUGAUACCACGUGAUACGGGUGUGGGUGGCCCGAUCUUUCGAUGAGAUUGAUAGCUCUCGAUUUGGGUAGGAGGUGACGUUGACGAUCCGACUACGGCCUAGCAGGCAGCGCCUUAGCAAUCGAUACACCAACUCCAGAGGGUUAUUGAUCACGCGGGGGCACAAUCAACCUGACCACGAAGGUCUUUGUUCCUGCAAGCAAUCGAAGAACAAGCAAGAACAAGAUAAAUAGCGGAUGCAAUCUAAAAUUGCGAGUAUACUAUAUCAAACCAAUGUCUCAACGAGACGAUAAGUUGGGGUUCCGAAAGCGGUAAAACAGGUG
Molecule: long non-coding RNA, 73453 nt
Filed under: Brachypodium distachyon (stiff brome)
Lineage: Eukaryota; Viridiplantae; Streptophyta; Magnoliopsida; Poales; Poaceae
Description: long non-coding RNA (BDIS_LNC002134)
Source: RNAcentral